AACGUCUAAUAUAAGCUCAGAAAAGAAACGACAAAACAAGUAGCUAGCAGCACUUGGAAUUUCGUUUUUGCAUUCGAAGAAGGUUGAAUUCAACCUUCAAAGAAAUACAAGGACUCCCUCCCCUAUGAUCUUUGGAAGUGAGAAGCUUUUUUAAAGGAAAGCACCCAAAGUUUUGUUUAACCUUCUUAAUCCCAAGUAUGUAGCUUUCAUAAUAUAAUAAAUAGACCAACUAAUGUCAUUAAUAAGCAACAGUCAAGCGCUCGUUUCAUCAAUGCAUUAAGAGAUUUGAUAGCCACCAGAAUAAGUUAGAAUAAGUAUAUGUAAAUGACAAUGCAAUUAUAGGGAAGCCCAGAGAAGAGAAGUGGGCUUCCACCAAUUGCCUCAUACUCAGAUCGAAUCUUCUGCUUCAUAGCAUCAGAUAGCUCUCUCUGCAAUUCAAAUAGGCACACUAUUGAAUUUUUUAUUCCCUUUCUUCUUCAUUUAAGACUUCCAAAUUUUACAAGGAUAUCACAUGAUUUGAAAAUACUUCUUCCUGUUUUACUAAAAGAAGAUACUGGGACAAGAAAACAUGACACUUGUUUUUAAUCCUGCACCAAACCAGAAAAAUUGAAACAAUGAACAAUACGCACAUAUAUAUGAAAUUUUCUUGUGUUAGUCUUUCACGAGAUGCCUAACAAAUUUCUACAACUGUCAGCUAAACGAAUAGUAAGAUAUGAGUAUAAACGGUGCAAGAAAAGAACCUUUCCAGUUGAGUACUUUGCUGCUUCAAACUUCUCUGCUUGUGGCUUUGGAGAAGGAUCUAAUACUAUGCCCUGACAAACACAUACCAAGGGGAACUUUUACUGGGUAACUUGGUCAAGAACUCAUUAUAUGGACCCACGUAUGUGCAGGAAAUGAAGAGAAAUGCUCAGGAAGCUUUAUAUAAACAAGAACAAAAUCUCCAGGUGUGGGUCACAUAAGCAAGUCCAUGAUAUAUAAUUUAAAUAAAUGUAAGGGUAACUUAAAAUCAACAAACCUCUGGAGGAUCAAAUUUUGCACCAAGGUUGCUUAGCUUGGCAUGGGCUUCAGCAUAAUCGUUGAAGAAUGCUACCUGAUCCUCAGCGUACUUCUCAGCAUAAACCUGCAAGUUAGACAGAAGUUUAAUUUUAUGUGCAUUUGUAAAAUAGCCAUGGAAAAUAAAACUCCAGUUACUUACCUUGAAGGAUGGAUCCUCAAAAAGAACAGCAUCUGUUGGCAAUACCAAUAAAUCUUCAUCCUUUUUUUCCUUGAUGUCCUGCUUACAAAAGGGAAUAAGGAAAUCAUAACCCCUGUAUACUCCCCUACGCUAUCAAUGUCCAUUACUUUUUUAAACAUUUUUUUUUUUUGAAAAAAGGUGAUAAUAGAAGUAGUGGUAAAGACCUUGAAGUAUGAGUUAUCAAACUUCAACCAUUGUACUGUCCAGGAUUGUCCUCCAGGUGCUCCUGGUCCAUCUUUCUGUAGAUCGAAAGAAAAUUACAAUUAUAAAAUAUUCUGAUAAGGAAUAGGCAAAAGGGCAUAUAAUAUGCAGUGUAUAGAGAAGAUUAACAUAAAACAUAACAUGCCCGAAGAAGAACGGACUUUUAGUGCUUGCUGGUAAUGCAAAAUAUCAAAUAUCAUAUUUAGAAUUAGAAUACGACUUAGAAGAAUUGAAAUAAAUUUACUAGUACAAAAUCAUCAAACAAGUAGGGGGAGAAAGGGAAGAUAAUAUACUGUAUAUUUAGUCUCAGGCUUGCCCCAGCCACUUCGUUCAGGUCUGGACCUUCCCAGUGUGUGCGCACCAGAUAAUGCAACAAUUUCCUGCAGGUUCAGUAACUUGAUCAAAAUCACGUAUAAUAUUUCCAGGAUCCAACUUAAAACCUUGAUCCUUGUUGGAAACAACGGAAAUCACCUUGUCAUUCAAACCCAUUCUGUAGAAAACUUGACGCAAAUGAUCAGCCGGUGAGGGAGGACCAGCAUCUGAGUACAGCAAUGUUUGUCAGUUAGCUAUAUCAACACAAUUUUAAAGUGUAUAUAUUAACUAUAUUCUAAAAAUGCAUGAUUUAAAAUUUUAAUAGUUGUAGACUUGUGUCUCACCCGAUUACCAUAACUAAAUUUCCAGUCGAACAUGAAUCAAGUCCUAUAACUGCAAUCCAUGCAAGUCUGAAAAACCAAAUUGUUUGUCUGUUUUCGUUUUAUUUUUGUUUGGGUUCAAAUUUUCUUGAUAAUUUUUGUUUUUGGCUAGAAUGAAUUGGGCUAAUUGAAGUUUUGAAGAUAAAAUGAAGAUUGAACCAGACAAAUUUAUUUACUUCUUAAGCCAUCAUAGAUAUUCAUCAUUGUUUAUAAAAGCGUAAUAUAAAUAAUUUAAGGUAUUAAGCUUUUCAGUUUCCAUUUGGAAGUGCUUGGCAAAGUGGCAAACUUGCAAAUUGGUUCAAAAUUGAUAAAUUAAAACUAGUAAUGUAAAUCAAUUUAGUUACUCUAUAAUGCUGAUAGCUUAGUCAUUAGCCAGUCCAAGUCUACAAACAAUAGAGAAGGUGCAGUACAGGUGAAAAAAUUACGCUUCGAUCUAAUUCUUAGGUUCAAUAAGAAGAAUAAACAUAUUUUAACUUUUCAAGAACAGCAAUAAAAGACUAAAGCUCUUUACUAUGAUUAAUUUAUUCCAAUGCCUUGACUUCUAUGAUUUCCAAUGGAAUCCUAAUUAACGUGGCUAGAUACAUUAGGUCACAUGCUUUUUUCUUAGCACACUGGAUAUAUGGCCUACUAACCUGGAAGUCUGCCUUCUUCAGGACAUUGUUCAGGUGAUGAGACAUCCACUCUUCCAUAUUUCAUAGGGAUUUUUGGGCCUCCAGCUUCCUGACAAUUUCAAGAAAGUAAUCAAUAUAUCUUUUAAUUAAGUUAUGUAGCCAAAAGUUAGUCCUGAAGCAGAGCAAGGAGUCAGGUAACCUCAACAGCAGUAGCACCAGCCAACUGAAAUAAGUCUGCAUACGUCACACGAGCGUAUUUGUCUUUGAUUGGCUGAAGAAGCUUCAAUGCAUUCACAAGUCCUGGAAUGGCAACUCAUCAGGGGAAACAAUAAGCAAAAUUCAAACAAUCGCGACGUUUAGUAUAUCAUUACCAGCAUUGGCUGCAUGUUUCAGCUCAACUUCAAAUUUUAAACUACCAUUAGCACCACCUCUCUGUGGCCAUUCCUCAAUAUUCUUAUUGUAGGUACCAGCAUCAUGCCAUCCCAAGCGAAUCUAUCACGUAAAAUUCUAUGUGAACUGUAGAUACUUAAGAACGUAACAUAAAAUUGUACAAAAAAAUUAUAUAUAUAUAUUUUGGUGACUUGUGAUUUUUUGGUGACUAAAAUUAUAUUUAUAUUUAUUUGUUUUAGAAGAAAAAUAAUUGAAUGGAAAAUUACAAAGAAUGAGAAUGAUAAGGAAUCUCCUACACAACCACGUGUGCAGGCACAUGCAAGGUCAUUAGAGAAGCUUUUAGAUCCUUGAAAUGUCACUGAAGAAACCCCAAAAGAGAGGUCAUGAACUUUGCACAAAUUAAACAGUAACCAAUAAGUAUUAUCCCAGAGUAAGUAACCAUACUGUAGCCAAGGUUGAACAUUUCCAUAGAAAUUUUACUUCUCCCAUAGCAAUGGGACCUAACCCUCAAAAAGUGGUAAAGAGAACUAGGACACACCCCACUGAAAAUGCCAAAUAGCUACAUAAAUUAAAUUCUGUAACAAAGAUCCAAGUCUAUGGGGCAGGUCUAUAUCAUCCAAAAUCCAAUGUAGUAUAUAUGCAUAAGAGUUUGACAUCUUGCUUUAGUCAUUUUGGCAACUGUUAAAUUUUACUCACCACCCUUGGAAGUCAGGUUCAUAAGUAAGAAUUCACAUGUAAUCAGUAGCCUCAUUCCAAUCAUCUUAUUAGUUGAAUGGUUAAUCUAUCUAUCUCUGGUGGUCAAUGUGAUGUGAAGACCAAAGAGUAUUACACAACAUCAUAACAUCAUGACCAAUUAGCUGAUCCUUUAAAACCAGAGAUAAAUUCUGCAUAAAGUGCUGUGUGGACCUUUCCAGCAUUCUUUGUAGAUAUUGGACCACUGGAAUACUAGUCAGUGUAUCAGAAAGAAUUAUCCAUCCAGCAGACAAAUAAUAGAGAAAAACUAGGACAUGGCCAGCUUAUCAAAGGCAUAAGGCAUCAAUCACAAGGUACAAGGUCCAUCUCCAUAUUACAUGUGAGUGUUCAUUAUGCUCCAUGACAACAAAACUUAUAAUCGUUAAUUUUAAUCAAAUUCAAUUUGAAAAAGAAAUUCAAAUAAAAGAGAAAUUAAUCCAAACGAUAAUGCAAGUCUCCCCGCAAAAGUGAAUUAGAUCAUGGAUUCAGCGUAAACUAGUCAUGGAACUUAAUCAUGUAACUUAUUCGAACCCCUCUAACAACGCUUAUAGUCAACUAGUCAUGGAACUUGAUUAUGCAACUUAUUUCGAACACGAACAACAUCGCCGCCUAUACACUACUUCCCAAAGCGUUCGGGAAAAGAAAACAAAUAAUAAAAACAUAAAAAAAAUGAGUGAACACUUGGAAUCCGAGUUCAAACGCUCUAGUCUCUACUAACGAAAAGAACAAUAGGUGCAAAAAUUCUAGAGUAUUUGGAGACCUAACUGAAGCUCGUGACUUCGUGAUAGUGAACUCGUACAGUGAGAUCUCAAGAAAUGAAGGUUUACCAGAAUCGGAUGGCAGAACUUUGUCCUGAGAAGCUCCUUGAUAUCUUCUCGAGCACUCUUCAGCUGGUCAGGAUCAGACGCCAACGACUUUGGAGAAGAAACCGUUGCAUAGCCUCCACUCGAAACACGAACCUCAGCUCUUCGCUGAAAACACAAAAAGAAAAGCACAAGCAAGUGAACACAUGAAUCGAUCGCGAGCUCAAGUUUAAGAGUUAACAGCUCAAAAUGGAGGAGACAAUACCUGAUUGACGAAGAGGUGAGAGAAACGAGAAGAGGAGUGAAGGUGGAGGCAUUUGAGCGAGGAACGAGAAGUUGAAGAGGAGGAGAAGAAGGAGCGGUAAGAUGAAGAGGAGAGUGCGGUGGCGGAGGGAAUAAUGCGUGAGGCAGCGAUGGCGGCUGUGGCGGUGGAGGCCAUUCUGGUUGUUGGAGACGGUUGGGAUGGUAAAGUGAGCGAAGGAUGAGUGAGGAACACACGCUCUGCCAUGUGUUUGGGUACUGUUUGGGUUUAUAACACUUUUUAUUCCCUCCUUGCGUUUCGGAUGAUGAAUUGAUUAUGUUCUCUGCCAAAAGCGCGAUGCCACGCACACCUACUCACUGCAACGCUCUCGAUUUUUCCUUGUGUUUGGUUAGUAGCGCACCUUAUGCUUAAUCAGUAUUAUUAAUACUCCUAGUCACCACUAUUCGUCUAUUCCGUAUUAGGGUUUAAAUGUUAUGUUAUGAUGGAAUAUUUUUUUAACGUAUUAUUUGACUUUUAUAAAACACAAUAUAUUUAUUUUAAGCUCAUGCAAAUUAUAAGAAUUUGAUUUAAAUAUUUUAAAAUAAUAAUUUGAAUUUGUUAAACCAAAAUUAUCACAAUUUUUUUAGAUUAAGAUUUAAUAUUUAUACAAUUACAUAUUAUUAAAGAAUUUAUAUGCAUGCAAUACCGUUGGAAUUUUCUGGAAAUGCCGUGUAAAUCCAUCCCAUUCAUACUUGUUGAAGCAAAUUGUGUCCCAAGGGCCAAGGCACAUAAGAGGAGAGACGAGAGAGCAGUGAGAAAGGGUGGAUACUUAUUAUAAAAUAAUUUGUUAUUAUGUAAUAAAUAAAACAAUAAAUUAUGAAUUAUAAUUUUUUUGUGAAAAAAUAUAUGAAAAUUUAACCUGAACUACACAUAAAAAUUACAAAUUUAAAUGCUAUCGUCUUUUUUUUUUUCACUUUAUUUAGCAGUGAGAAAGGAAUCUUGUCAAGGCCACAUGCCCCCAUUUUAAAAUGUAAAGGAAGUUGAAAAAUGAAAAUAGGAUAAAUUAUUUUAAGAAAAUCCAAGGACUUUGUUAAAACGUCAAACUUUGAAGUAUUGUCUUCUUCUCUUUUGAAUUUUGACCAACGGCUGCCAUCCAUGGAAAAUUGAAAAUGCAUCACUAGGGUAGGGUUUGGAGUCAACCCUAAUCCUACCCGCAGGUUGAGAUUUUUAUAUAAAUUCAAUCCUAUCCUACCCGCGGAUUGAGAAUAUCUCAACCCUAACCCUACCCGCUCUUAAUCCGCGGGUACCCGACCCUACCCGCGGGUUACAAAAAAAAUGCAACGUUAUUAUAUAAUUUGAUGAUAAUUUAAAAUAGGACUGACAUUUAUGUAAAAAAAGUUUAUUAAAUUAUCAAUUAAUGAUCUUCUUUUAAUGACUAAGGAUCUUUUGUAUUUAGUGGGAAGUCUUUAGUUCAAUAUCCACUUAAAAUAUAUUUUUAUAUAAGUAUAUAACAUAUACAUAUAUAGGGUGCGGGUUGGUCGGGUAGGGUUGAGGCUCAACCCGCACCCUACCCGACCCGCACGAAAACCCUACCCGCACCCUACCCUACCCACUGCGGAUCGGGUUGGCAACUCUACCCGACCGGGUGGGGUCUGAUUGGAUACCCGCGGGUAGGGUACAUAUUGCCACCCCUAACGGCCAUCGAAUGAUUUUUUGUUUUCUAGUUACUACACGACUUUUUGGGACUUAUCAAACGAUUGUUUUGAUUAAUUAAUACACCAUUUUUUGUGUCUGCAUAUUUUUUGUUUUGGUAAAGUUUGGGAUUGGAUAUAACAAAUAUGAUUUUUCAAUACAAAAACCAUAUUCAAACAAAAAUUAUACCUCAAGUCCAAAAAUAUAAAAACAAAAAUUAUACCUCAAAAAAUUGCAUCAGAGGAAAAGGAGAAUCAUAUUUUGGGAGGGAUUUCUAAACCUUUGAAGGUUUCUUUCAGGGACAAAAUUGUGGGUUCCAAGAUUGCUAAAGCUUUUUCACUUGUUGAAAUUUUAUCGGGAGAUAACAUUGCGGUAGUUUCUGGGAAGCAAGGAGAUCCUUUGCCACCGAGUGUCACGUUUACCCAAGAAACUAAGAAUUGCUUGGCAGAACCUUAUAAGGAUGCUAUAGUGAUUAAGGUGCUAUGUAAACAUUAUAGCUACACUGCAUUGUCUCAUAAACUCCGAACGGUAUGGAGGAUUAAGGGAGGUUUUGAUUUAUUGGACGUGGGAUUUGACUACUUUCUUGUGAAGUUUGAUGUAGCUGAGGAGCGAGAAAAGGUUCUCUUAGGAGGUCCGUGGAUGAUCGAGGGACAUUAUGUGGCUGUGAAGCCUUGGGAUCAAGAGUUUAGAUCAAGUGAAAACUGUUUUGGAGCAACUUUAGUGUGGAUUAGAAUUUCCGAAUUACCAAUUUGGUGCUACCAAGAAGAUGCAAUGCUCCGUGUUGCGGCUGCAGUUGGCAUUCCCGUUAAGGUUGAUUUGGCAACAAAAUUAGCUGAAAGAGGACGAUAUGCUCGAGCAUGUGUUCAGAUAGAUUUAGGAUUGCCAGUGACUAAGAAGAUUCUUGUUGAAGGUGUUGAAUAUGAGGUUGAAUAUGAAAGUCUUCACCUUAUUUGUGGCUCCUGUCUCAAGUUUGGUCAUGAUAUGAAGGUGUGCAAGACUGACAGCAAUGCAGGAGGAGGAACUAAUGCCAAGGUGAUCAGCGAUGUAGCAAAGCAGCCAGAAAGUUCAAAUUCAAAAAAUCUAGUACAUGUGGAAAAGGCAAGUUUUCAUUUUGGCAAGAAUCUUGGAGAUGAGACUGUAAAUGUUACUGUCCCGGAUUUGGUGGAGAGUGAUUUGCAUGCUGUUCAUGUAGACCAUGCACAAAUCAUGUUGAGUCUCAGGUUUGAUAUUGGAGCUCUCUUUUUGCUGUUUUUAUGGAUAGUUUCAAUAUCAUAGCCUGGAAUGUGAGGGGUGCGUCUAACAAGAUGGCCCGUGUGCAUUGCAAAAAUUUGGUGAGAAUAUAUAAACCAUCUUUCUUCUUUCUCUUUGAGACUCAUACCAUGUUUAAUAAUUUGAAAAAUUUUUGGGAUAAGUUGGGUUUUUAUUGUGUUGGUAUUGAGGAAGCAGUAGGACACAGGGGUGGCAUUUGGUUUCUAUCUUCUAUUGCUAAUGCUUCUUGUGUGGUUAUUGAUCAAAUUGACCAAUGUAUCACAGUGAAAGUGAGUGUGGGUAACUUAGUUUGGCUUUGUAGUGCAGUAUAUGGGAGUCCUCAAUUCGAAAAAAGAUGUAUGCUUUGGGAUCAUUUGCGUUCUAUUAAUUCAGGCCAUAAUAGACCAUGGAUGGCCGUUGGUGAUUUUAAUGAGAUUGUGGCACCAGAUGAGAGUACAGGUGCUUAUUUUUCUUCUCACAGAGCUAGUCUAUUAGCUACUACUCUAGAUGACUGUGAGCUCUUUGAUCUUAAAGUGACUGGUAGGAGAUAUACUUGGUAUAGAGCAGUUCAGGCUGGCAGAGACUUGGCUAAAAGGUUGGAUAGAGCUAUAGUUAAUGAGGCAUGGAUGACAAUGUUUCCUGAGGGUUAUUCUGAAAUUCUUAGCAGGCUUCAUUCUGAUCAUUGUCCUAUUUUAGUUCAUUGUCAUGGUAGCCCCAGAGUGAAAGGUUCACGUUCUUUUAGGUUCCAAGCUGCGUGGGCAACACAUCCUUCUUAUAAACAUGUUAUUAGUAAGGCUUGGAAUCAAGAGUUUGGAGGCGUUACCGAAAGGCUUAAGAUGGUUCAACAGGCUUCUUUGGACUUCAACUCAAAGAUUUUUGAAAAUAUUUUUGUGCGAAAAAAGAAGCUGGAAUAUCAGCUUGAUCAGAUUCAACGGCGUUUGGAGGUUACCGAUGUGUUAUCUCUGAGAAUUAAAGAAGCUGAACUGAGGGAAGAUUACAAUAGACUUUUGUUGCAAGAGGAACUUUUUUGGUACCAGAAAUCUAGAGAGCAGUGGGUCAAGUAUGGGGAUAGAAACACUAAAUUCUUUCAUCUUCAGACUUUGGUGCAUAGAAACCAUAAUAGAGUACAUGGAUUAUAUGUUAGAGAUGGAUCUUGGUCUACUGAUCCAGAUAUUCUUCAGGAAGAAGCCCUCUCUUUUUACAAGAAUCUCUUUGGUACAACGGAAGAGGUUGAGGUUGAUUGUUUAGAGGAUGUUCCGAUGCCCACUCUAAGCACUGAGGUUUGUGCUAGGUUAAUUGACCCUGUCUCUUUUGCGGAAGUCAAGUCAGCAGUAUUCAGUAUGAGCCCUUUUAAGGCUCCUGGUCCAGAUGGCUUUCAAGCUUAUUUUUUUAAAGAAUAUUGGGAGAUAGUAGGCACUGAGAUUUGGAAUAUUGUCCGGAGCGCUUUUUUGGGAGAGUUCUUAAAUCCUAGCAUCAUGGAAACUCUGAUUGUGCUUAUUCCUAAAAUUGAUAACCCUACCUUUAUGAGGGAUUUCAGGCCUAUUAGCUUGUGUAAUGUUAUUUAUAAAAUUAUCACCAAAGUAUUGACUAACCGACUUCGGCCUUUUCUUCCAGAUAUUGUUAGUCCUUUACAAGGAGGUUUUAUUCCGGGUCGUGGUGCUCCUGAUAAUAUUAUUGUGGCCCAAAAAANNNNNNNNNNNNNNNNNNNNNNNNNNNNNNNNNNNNNNNNNNNNNNNNNNNNNNNNNNNAAGGUGCAAGGAGUGAAAAUUUUUUUCUUUUCUUUUCGACCAUCUGGUGGAUUUGGAGAAGCAGGAAUCAUGACUUAUUUAAUAUAGAUGAUUCAUGGAGUGCUAGUAAAGUGGUGAGUUUGAUUCGUAGUUCAGUAAGGGAGUUUCACACUAUUUUUGCUAUGCAUCAAUCUCUGUCUCCUCCUUCACUUUGUUUGCAUUGGGUUCCACCUCCAGUUUAUUCUGUUAAAUUGAAUUGUGAUGCUAGUUGGUUUGCUCCUUCUAGCUAUGCUGGUUUUGGUUGUAUCAUUCGCAAUCCUGAUGGAUGUUGGUUGAAAGGUUGCACUGGGAAAGUCGAAGUAUGCAGUGUUCUUUUUGCUGAAUUGUAUGCAAUUUGGAGAGGUUUACUUCUUGCUUGGGAGAGUAAAUUUCGUGAGGUUAUUUGUGAAACAGACUGUUUAGAAGCUCUUUUCUUGGUAAACCAAAGAAUGCUUGGUAAGGAUAUUCCGGAAUGGGAUUUGGCAAAGUAUAUACAGGAGGUUAUGAAUUGGAAUUGGAGAGUCUCUAUUCUUUUAAUUCAGAGGACUGCAAAUAGUGUUGCAGAUUGUAUGGCUAAAGCAGCUGCUUCUGUCGCGGAUAUUUACUCGAAUUGGAGCCAACCAUGGAGUGAGCUUCAACAUCUAAUAGAUUUAGAUAUGACCCUAGCCAAUUAAUUUGGUUUUGUCUCUUUUUUUUCUUUCUUUUCUAUUUAGUCACAAAAAAAAAAAAACAAGAACAUAAACAAAAACGCCAAUGAGUUAUAGCUCAAAUGGCAUAGUCUCCUCAUACUCAAUUAAGAAGUUGCGGGUUCGAGUCUCCUAUCUUUGGUUAAAAAAAAAAAGAACAUAAACAAAAACAUAUAAAACAAAAAAGUCCACCCAUCCCUAAUAAGUUAAAUGACGGUAACACGGCCAAGUCCAAAAAAAAAAUGAGGGUAACAUAGCAAAAGCAAAAGCAACAUAGUUUAGUCCAUGGAGUAAUUAUCAAGGUUCUGAAAAUCGGACCGGUCAUCAAACCACUCUAGUUACUGGUUUAUUGGUUUAUUGGUCUAAUCGGUUUAAUCGGUAGUUCAACCGAAAAAAUCAUUUUAGAAUAAAAUAAUAUAUAAAUUAUAAAUAAACAUCCUAAAAUAUCUUCCAAAUUUAAAACACUACACAAAAAAUCAUCAACCAAAAAGGAUUUCAGAUUAGCCAGAUUAACUUUGUGAUAAAGUACCAGAAAUUUAAUGGAUUUCAGACUAAUAACAUUUAUUUUUUCAUCUUUACAGAUGAUAUUAAAUUCCGUAUACAUAUACUAUAUAUGGGUUUAUUUUUUAUUUUUUGGACCAAGUAUUAGAAGCAUUAAUUAUCACACACUGCAUUCUUUCCCGCUACUGUUUAUUGAGCUUAGCCAAUAGCACUUUCAAGUUUCAAUUCAUCUACCAAUUAGCAGUGAUUUUCUAAUAACAAAGUCAAAAACCAAUUGGUUGUUUUUGGACUUUCAUCAUGUAUGUAAGUAUGUUAAUUAACAAGGACAAAGCAACGUUCUGAAUAACAAAAUUGUUAGCACAAAAAUUAAUAAAGAUUAAUAAAGAUAAACAUAAGACUGAUUAUAAUGAACAAGUAAUAGUUUCACAAUUUUAACAUGGCCUGAAGUGAUCUUAGUGGAUGAUCAUGAACAAACUCUACUAAAAAACAGGAUGAAAAACCAAAAAGAAAGGAAAACUUAGAAGUUGGAAUGCUAGAACACUGUAAUUGCUAUUUAGAAAAUCAAUAUAGUAACAAUGUUAUUGAGUUUACACAUAUAUGUUCAAGACUCAUCCCAAGACUCCUUUUUAACAAAACUAAUCUCAAUUGAUAUACCGGAUAUAUAUUUCCGAUAACUAACAGAACUUAAUUUUACUAAGUGAUUUCACUAUCUUUUGUACCCUUUGUCAAGUAUAAAUUAACUAAUUUAGUUAAUACACAGCUCCAAACACAGCAAGUAAUCUGCUUCAUACACAUACACUCCUCAAUAACAGUGAACUAUGCUUCAUAAACAACUCAAAUUGUCAAAAUCAGAUUUCAAGAAAUGCAUAAUUUAUCAAGCAUGGCAAAGCUAAGUUCUCAAACAAAAUUUUAAUUGAACACAGAAUCACAACAUAACAGAGCACAAAAUACAGCAGAGUAUAUCACAACAGCAUUGAGCAAAGCUAAUCAAUAAUGAAUUAAACAUUCAAUAAUUAAUCAAUAAUUCAAUAAUCAAUAUAAUAUCUGAACGAAAAAUAAAAACAAAAAGAAAAAAAGCAUUAGCAGUGAGUAGAGAAGCCAUUGCCUUCUUCGAUCUGAGCAGUCUGGGCAGAGUAUGAAGAAAAGUGGUUGAGCGCGACGGACGACGGUGACCAGGCGACAAGCACGAUGACGGACGGCGGCAGAAGCGUGGCUGAGCAGAGGUAGACCGGACGACAGACGCGGAGAACAAGGAAGAAGCUGUGAUUGGUGAAUGAGGAGAGGAGUUGGAGACUUGGAUCACGACGACGACGACCAGACAAGGACAAAGCUCCUGAGCGCAACGGACGGCGGCGGAAGCUAUUGUGAGCUAGGGUUUCUUUUUGGGGGAAGAUAGCUUUGUUUAAGAGAGUGAGAGUUGAGAGGAGUUGGAGUGAACAGAGGUUGGAGAGCUCAAGAACGACGAUGGCGCGACGAACGGCGGCAGUGUCUCCUUCCUAGCAGCGGCGGUGGAGGCUACUGCUUUUGUUUUUUGUUUGAGAGUGAGUUUGAGAGGAGGAGGAGACUGAACGCCGAACGCUUUCCUUUGUUGUUUUUAUUUGAAACCCAAAACGGCACCGUUUCAGCAAAACCGGCUGGGUUUCGGUUCGGUCUGACCGGUCGAUUCUCAGCCGGUUCAACGGUUUUUAAGCGGUUUUUAAAUUAGCGGUUUUAUAAGUUAAACCAAACCGUAAUUGAUUUAGUAUUUUAUUUUUAAUUAAGAUUGUUUAUGUUUCACUCGAUUUUUAGUAUAUUUUCACAAUAUGUCAAACUGAGAUUUAUCAAGAUCUUAAUAUUAGAGAGUAGAUACAACUUUUUUGAAAAAGAAUGAGUUCGACUCAAAAAUUACUUAAUUAUGAUUUCAAAAUAAUUUAUGUCGAAAUUACUAAUGAUAAAUUUAUAAAAAAAAAAUACAAACAACAUUAUAAGAAAUAAAUAAUUAAACAAAGAAGACAAUGAAAGUAUAAAAAAAUUGAUCAAAGCAAAAUAACAACAAAACUCAAAGAAAAUAAAAGAAAAGAGUAAAGUGUUGUUUUUGUCCCCAACGUUUGGGGUAAGUCCUAUAAUUGUCCCUAACGUUUAAUUCGUCCUAUUUUUGUCCCCAACGUUCCAAAAAUGAUGCAAUGUUACCCCACCGUUAAUUCCAGUCACAGAACACUAACGGAGAUGCCUACGUGGAUCCCUUUGUCCACUCUGGCAAACUUUGUCCCUGGUGACCGUUACUGAGCAUUUGAGAAAAAAAAUUGGAAAUUUAAUUUAAAAGGAUGUUGAAACCCUAAUUUCAUCGUGCGUCUCCUAUAGCUUCUCCUUCUCACCAUCGCCGUCUCUGUUGAAGUUGAUUGCUGAGUCCAUGGCUUCGCAGGGCUCCCAGGCGCCGAGUAGUAGCUUUGUUUCAGGUCGAAACAGCAGCCAAGGUCGUCGACGGAGAAGAACUUGUUACUGUGGGGAGAGGCCAGUGCUUGCGACUUCGUCAACGGCAGAAAAUCCGGGACGGAGGUUCUGGGGCUGUGUUAACUAUGGGGUAAGUAGGAAACUUUGCAUCUGGGUAUGGCUGUUAUUUGGUUUUUUGAUUGGAAUUUUCUUUUGGUUUUUGCCUAGAUUGGAGAAGAGUGUGAGUACUUUGUGUGGGCAGAGUCGGAGCAAGAGCCACAAGUUCCUCGAUUGAAAAGAAGAAUCACAUGCUUGAAGGGUAAAGUGACAACAGUUGAGAGGAUGUUGAGAAUGGCAGUAGCAGUUGGUCUGGUUGGAUGGACAUGCGCUAUAAUUUUGCUGUGUGAAAAAUUUUCAUCAACAAGAAAUGGGAGGUUCUUUUUGCAGUAAGGCUGCAGAAACAUAGUGGCUAGUGUAAUGUGUUGGCAAUGUGUUGUCUGUAAUUUGGUGUGUAAUGUAACCUGUUGAUUGAAAUUUUUUGAAUGAAAAUUUGUUGUUAUCCACUUUUAUGUGUUUAGUUUACAUUCUCAUGGUACAAAUAUGGAGGUAACUGUCAGCAGAAAUGAUUAAAUGAAACAGGAAAAUAGAGCAAACAUAAAGCAUUAAAAUCAACCAUAUGGCAUAGAUAGGCAAUAGUCAGCAACUUAAGAUACAUACAUUCCUAAGUAGAUGUCUUAGAACUGGAAAUAUAAGUCAACAUAGAUGCUAAACAGUUUUACUAUAGUAGCAGUAGCAAAACCAAAUUGAAAACAGUUAGACCAACAACCAUAGUUCCUAAGCUGAUACAAAAGGCAAAAUACAAAAAUUGUAACAAGUGAAACAAAGUCAUUCCACUUUCUUCCAUGCUCUUGGUGGUGUCCUGGCCAUGAACCUUAGCUGAGACUGGGUGACCCUCUUCACUGGGCUUGGCAGUACCCUUGUAGUUGUUGGGGCUGGUGCAGAUGCAGUCUGUGAUUAAUUCACUUUGGCCCUUUUCAAAGCAGCUUGUGAUUGUUGGGAGCUCACAGGUGGCUUCCUCUUUGGGUGUGAGGGUGGUUUGUUGUUGCUGCCCCUUUGCUUCCUACUUCCACUAUCAGCAGCCUUACCAGAAUCUGUCUUGGCAGAUAAUCUGGAACUUUUUCUGACUCCUUACCUGUUUCUACCCUUUGAAGUAGAAGUAGCAACAUUGUUAACCUGGUGACAAAAUAGAAACAGAAUAAAUAACCAAAUACACAAUUAGGAAACAUAAUAAACACAUAAUUAAAAUUUGUUACAGUUGGAUUUGGUGUGACUUUGCGCUUCUUUGGACAACUUCUUUUGUUAUGGCCAGAGCACAAACAGUAAGAGCACUUUUGCUGUUGCCCUUCACGAGACAGUCCAGUCCUAGUAGCCUGCUCAUCAGCACCUCUUGCUCUCUUCUUCUUUGGCCUCCCAAUAGGUUUUCUAUAAGUUGGAGGCAACACAUCCUCGAACUGAGUUCUGUCCCAAAGAUUUGGCCCAUUGACUGGGUAGAUAACAUGCUGGUAGCAAGAGAUGUAUGCAGUCUUUUUGUAGUAGUCAGCAACAUAUGAAUCCACAUUGAAACACAUUUUUCUUAUGCAUGUCAUGGCAUGUGCACAAGGAAUUCCGGACAGUUGAAACUUUCUACAUGAGCAUUCAUGAUGCCUAAGAUCAACCACAAAUUUUUCCUUACCCCCCUGAAUGCUAACCACCUCAUAUCUAUCACGUCCAGCAUACACACUCACCCAUUGACCACUUAGUUCGGCUUGUUUUUCUACCUUAAUCCUAAUUCUGGGCAACACAUCUCUAUUAUAAGGCACUAUUCUGUCCCUGUUGUCAGCACAACGUUUCAUGAUGUAAACCCGGAUAUCCUCUAGCAUAGUCACUAUUGGCUUCUCCCUAGCCUCAACCAGAACAGAAUUAAAAACUUCACACAUAUUGUUAACUAAAGUGUCACACCUAGGUCUACACUCAAACCUGUGACGACACCAGUAUUUUGUUGGAAUCUCCAUAAGAUAGUUGUAUGCUCCCUGAUCCACCUUCUGUAUCUCACUCAUCCUCCUUUUCCAUUAUUGAAGAUAAGUUGCCUUGGCAGCAUUCCACAUCAUUAGCUUCAACUGGAGUCCUGGAUAUCUCUUCUUGAAAUUUGCAUACAGAUGUCUGACACAAAAUCUGUGGUCAACUCCAGGCAGAAGCUCCUCAAAAGUUGGCACCAACCCCUGUUUUGAGUAUAAGAAAAGUUGUGACAAAACUUAUGAAUGUUACAUGCUAACUAGAACACUUGUAAUUAAGUAUCAAAUAACAUAAAACACAUGUAAUUAACUAGAACACUUGUAAUUAAGUAUCAAACAAAAUAAAAUACAUGUACCUUCUGUUGGUCAGACAUGAAGGUGCAGGUCCUGAUUUUGUCUACUCCUAGGUCAUCACACAGGUGCUGGAGGAACCAUGUCCACGAGUCCUUUGUUUCAGCUUCCACAACUGCAUAUGCUAUUGGCAAGAUUUGAUCGUUUGGAUCCCAACCCAUAGCAGUCAGUAACCAACCUCCAUAAGGUGUUUUCAGAAAACAGCCGUCCAACCCAAUUAUUGGCCUACAAGCCAUAAAACUCCUCCUACAAGCAUCCAACAUCACAUAUAUCCUCUCAAACCUGGGCCUUAAAUCUACCCCUGACACUGGUCUUUCAGAAGCAAAUUCAGGAGGCCUCUGAACCUUCAGAUGCGCUGAUGACCCAGGGUUGGUCCUCAGCAACUCAUGACAGUAGUCAUACAAUCUUCUGUACUGCUCCACAUAUGUCCCCUGCAACUCAUCUAGAGCAAAAUGUCUAACUUUGGAGGCCUUAGAUUUGGUCAACUCCACAUUCCAUUUUGUGUAUGCUUUUCUCAUUAGUGUGGUUAACUUAAUCUUUGGGUUCUCAGCAAUUUUGUUCAAGAAAACCUUACUCAACCACCUUGCAUGCAUGAUUCCAAUCUUCAGCUCCCUAGAGCAAUUGUGCUUGUUGUUGCAGCUCUUCAACUGCCAACUACGCUCAUGCUUCAUCUUUCCACAGUAUGCAUACCAAUCACAUCCCUCCACACAUUCCACCUUAACCCUCUUCAGAUCCACCUUUGUGAAUCUUAAACCCCUGCCACUGCUGACAGCAUAUGCAGUGGCACAGUCUUUGAACUCCUCCCUUGACACAUACAAAGUUCCCACCUCCCAAGUGUAUUCACUCAUGUUCUUCAACGGCCUGUGUAUGGGAUACCUCUUUCCCGGGCCAUCCUCAUCAUCACUGAAUGGAGUAUCCAGAAACUCCUCACUGUUAUAACCUGUAUCCUCAUCACCAAAACCCCCUACAACUUUUUCCUUACCAAGAUUUUGUGCAGCUGGUUGUGAUGAUUGACCAUGAGACUGAUUGGGUGCAGACUCUUUUUCUCCCUCUUCUGUGAUGUUCACAUCAACUAAGCCUUCAGCUCCCUCCCUCUCAUCAUCACUGUCACCAAAAUCAAGACUACCAAGGCUGUGAGUUGAUGCAUUCCCAGCAAUCGAAUCAGAAGUCCAUGAGCUUUCACUCCCCCUGGGUUCAUAGUCAUUAUCUUCAGAUGUCUCACUCCACUCCUCAUCUUCUUCAACAGCAUCAUCACUCUUAACAACCUCACAGGAUCCCUCACUCAUAGACCCAACCUCUUCCACUUCAGUAGGCCCAUCAUUAGGCCCAUCAGUAGGCCCAUCAGUUGGCCCAUCAGUAGCUGCCUUUGACCCAACACCAGGGCCAUCAUACACAACAAUUGGGACAGGCCCAGCUUGAUCACCUUCUUCAGCAAGAGUAGUAAUUUGCCCAGGUUGUACAAUUUCUCCCAACAGAAACACAGGUUCAAAAGACUCUACUAACAUCAACAACCCCAAACCCUAAGAGCAAUAACAUUGCAAUCUCAGAAACCCUAUGCAUUAACAUUUUCACUUGCAUGAACUAUUCAGGCCAAACGAAAAUCAUACAUACAUUGCACAUACCUUUUCGCUCUGUGCCGUUUCGAAGUUUUCAGAACUACCAACACGAGGCAACGCUCUCGUGUGUAGGUAGCACACAACCACCAACUCGCUUCAAUAUGUCUUCUUCCUUCCUAAUCGAGCGCGAAGAACAGAGGAGCAAUAAUCAGUAGGGUUCAGGAGGUGUGGGUGGAAUGUGAAGUGUUUCGUUUUCCUUAAACUGCAAGCGUUUCGUAUGGUCAAAGAAAACAUUACGCGCGAAGUGAACCCCCAGUCAAUACACACGUUUGGGGUUACUAACGCCUCGCGUCCACGUAGGCAUCUCCGUUACUGUUCCGUGAGUGGAAUUAACGGUGGGGUAACAUUGAAUCAAUUUAGGAACGUUGGGGACAAAAAUAGGACGGAUGAAACGUUAGGGACAGUUUUAGGAUUUACCCCAAACGUUGGGGACAAAAACAACACUUUACUCUAAAAGAAAAUGUACUCACAUACACUUAUACUCCAUUUUUCCGUUGCGUCGCUGGAAUUGGAAAUUUUGUGAGUUUACGUGAUGAUCUAGUAUUAUUAGUUGAAGUCCCUCACUUCUUCUAAAUUUCUACUAUUUAUAAACCAUAGGCUUGUCAUGAAACAUGUUUGUCCACUAUCUUACUCCUUUUUUUUCUCAGCCAUAACCUUACUUUUGACCAUGAAGAAUCUUGUCUCCUAAAUUUUGACACCCACGUCUUCUUUGGUCUUCAAAUUCCACGUUUUCUUUAGCUUACUCCUUAAAUUUAGUACCUAUAUUCUCCAUUAUAUUUAUCCUAAAGGUCAAAUAGCAAGCCUUGAUGCUUAAAAAAAGGAAGUAACUGUCUUUCGAUUUCGACUAUCCUUGUACCACUUUUCUUUAACUUCAAUUUAUCUGUAUUUACUUUUUGUAGUCGAAAUUAUUGGUAAUCGAAACGCUCUCUUCUUUUUUCUUUUUUUUUUUACCAAAGAUAUGAGACUCGAACCCGCAACCUCUUAAUUGAGUAUGGAGAAACUAUGCCAUUUGAACUAUUACUCAUUGACAAUCAAAACGCUCUCUUGUCAAAAAAUAUUCAUGUUUUUGUACCAACCGUUUAUAAUAAUAUAAAAAAAAAAUUAACAAUUUAGUAUUAAGUUUCAAAAAAUAAAACAAAUCAUCAAAAUCACCCAUAAAAAAGAGCUAAAAUUCAAUCCAAGUUGAUCCAACAUGCUAAACACAAAUCGGAUCCUAUAUAUAUUUGCCCAAAUCUGAAUAGAUCCGUUCCGUUUACACCCAUUCUUAAACUUCUAUCUUAUCAUUAAAAAGCAAAAAGACAAACACAAGCUCACAUGCAGGUAGUAGAGUUCGGUACAAUACAUACUGCUACUACUGGUGUUACCAUUAUUGAAGCUAGGAAAAGAAAAGAAGAGAGGAAGUUGCAAAAAAAUAAUUAUCAUCAAAACAAAAACCAAACUAUAACACUAGUGAUAGAUUCAGUUUCCCAAACGCUACCAACCGUACCCAAACAUACAUGCACUCAUCUAAUCUUGACCAGAAACGCUCCUCAAGUUUUGCCACAAAUAUCUACAUACACAUACACUUUUAUCACAGCAAAUUAAACAAAUGCAACUUGGUGGCAUAUAAAAUAAACUUUCACAUACAUAAUAGUGUUUAUUUUUGAUGUACUGAUAGUGUAAAAUAUUUUAUACAAUUGUUUUAUAUUAUCGUGCAAUCACAUUCGUCUGUAUUCAUACGGUCAAUAAAAAUAAUAAUUAUUUUUUAUAAUGUGACAUUAUGUAAUUAGAUACAUAUAUAAAACUAUUUUAUACUAACAAUGGGUGCAUCAAAAUUAAAUUAUACAUCAUAAUCCUAUUAACAAAAUAAGAUUUUAAUGUGAUAUGAUUAUGCAUUCUUUAAGACAAAUUAAUGAGCCUACAGGCUGUAGUCUGUAGUAGAUAAAAAAGCACGAUAAGGGGAUAAAGCGAGCCUUAAUUAUAGGUUUAGACUUUAGAGUAGUGUUUGAAAAUUGGGACAAAAAAAUUAAGAGUAAAUAUUUAAAAGGUCUUCCUAAAACAUAUAUUUUAAACACACAAUAAAUAAUAUAUUUAAUUUUGAUAUACGGUGAGUGUAAAACAAUUUUAUUUUUGUAUUUAAUUAUAUAAUCUCACGUAAUAAAAAUAACUACGGUUUAUAUUGAGAUGCAUGAAUAAUUAUCCAAAACGUUUUAGAUGCGAUUGAAUGAAUAUGUAAAAUGUUUUAUACUAAAAAAAUUAGAGUUAUUGUUUAAGUGAAGUCAAAUUGAAAUUGAAACAUAAAUCAAAUGUAAAUUGAUGUUUUGUUCGAAAACAAAAGUUAUGACAAUCAAAUUUUGAUUGUUGUCUUGUAAAAAAAAAAUUAAUUUAUAGCAAAGAAUUAAUCUUUUUUUUAUUGAACCAUGCUUUGUUCAUUUUAAUGAUUUUAUGAUAUGAAUUCUAUUUUAUCAUACAAAUUUUUACUCUACUAUCUUUUCGGAGUUUUUUUUUAUGAAUUCUUAUUUUAUGUUAUAAUUUCGUUGGUAAUCAUAAAAAAAUAAUUUUUCUUUAAGAUAUCUAUUUGUGCUACGAAUUAUAUGUAAAUUGUCAAAAGAAACAUUUUUACAUAAUCUAAAUAAAAAAUAUUAAUUGGAACUUAAAGUUGGUAGAAAAGAGAAGACAGUUCUCCCCAAUUCUAAUUUAAAGUAUGCUCGUAUCUAUUGAUUAAAUAAAUGAUUAUUAAGAACGAAAUAAUCUAUUAAUUUUUUUUGUAAGUAUUUAUCUCCUUUUGAUUUGCACAAAAAAAAAAGACUAAUAGGAACAAAAAUAUAACCCUAUNUUUUCAUAUGUGUUGAAAUUAACAAAAUUCUGAAUUAUAUUUGUAAUUUAUGUAUAUAGUAAUGUGUGUUAAGAAAAAGAAGAAAAACAUCAGGGAAACUCUUUAGCUAUUAAGAGUCAAUAAUGGUGGUUGAAGAAACAAAAAAAUAAGAAGAAGAAAAAUUUCUAACUAUUGAAAUAAGAAACAAUAGUGAUUAAUUGGCAGUAUAGGGAAUGAAGAUGCAUGAAUGAAAAGACUAAAGAAGUUGAACUUAAUUAUUAUUGAAUGGCUGCUGUGUUGUAUGUGCAAUGUGAAUAUGGCCAUCCUUAAUAAGGAGUGGGCACCAUGUGUUAGAUAUUAGGGAUUUAAUACCAGAGAUUUGAAAUACUAAAUAGAAGAUAAAUAUAUACUUAUUUUGAGUUUAUAGUUAUCGUAUGAGUCUAGUAAUUAGAAGAGAUAAUAUUUAUAUAAAGAAUUUAGUACUUAAAAAUAGCUCAUGAUGAAUUUAUUAGUCAACAAAUAAAUUAGAUGAAUAUGUAAAUCUUUUUUAUAAGAUGCAUAUAUAAUUUAAUCAGGUCUUAAUCAUUAAAUAUUUAAAUACAAAAAAAUAUUUUAUCAUAUAUACUAAUCAUAAAAUCUGAGAUCCAAUAAUACAUAAUAAUAUCUAAAAUCUAAAAUCCAAAAUCAAUUACUUAUCACUUUGUGACUUUUAUUUUUAAAAUAUUAUUAUAAAAGAGUAAAUCACUUUCUAAACAACCGAGAGAGCAGUCGUCUGACAAAUUAUUUUUUAAAAUAACAAAAAUGGGUAGAGAAUCGAAUAUAAAAGCUACAUAUUUACUCAACAAUGAAAGUAUUAAACGGUUAGUACAUAAAUCUAUCUAACAAUUCAUAUUCAUAUUUUCUUUUUACCGUAUUUAUCAAUCUAACAAAUUAAAGACUAAUUUUUCUUAGAUCUAAACUCUAUUUAAGAAUUUAUUGUUAAUCUAUAGUUAUUACAUAAAUAGAUUAGUAAACUAUCCAUCAGACACAAAGAUAUGACAUAAAGAACAAAGUUCUUGUAUUUUUUAUUUUUAAUAGAGAUAAUAAAAAUGGAGCCAAUAAUUGUACUUGGAUUGGUUUUAAAAAUUCCCAAUAAGUGAUAACGAAGUAUCUAUAUAUCUUGGUUUCUUGAAGUUCAAAUGAAGUUUUCUGGAGAAGACAGCUCCUUAUCUCGUACUCUGUUUAAAAACACACACAUGUGAUUAGUGAUCUAGUUGUGCAAGAUUCCAAACUCUGAAUUAUUGAGAGGAUGGAUGGUGAAUUGGUGAUCCCCACUCGGAAUGCGCCAAGUUUCUUCAAAGAGGUUCAGACUAGGAAAACAUCGUUAUUUACUUUAAUUUUUAAUGAAAACCAAAAAUGGGAAGCCAAACAGAAUGGGCCACCGUCGUGGUUGGCAAACAAUCCUUGACCCCCCCAGGUAGAUAGUUGUGAAAAACCUCACAAAACGACAAAGGAUAAAAGAUUUUUAUUUUUUCUUCGAGAUUAUGUGUAAAUAAAAAUUUAUAUAUAGAUGUCUUCGUAUAUAAAAUUGAUAGUUAAGAGCCGUUUAAUGAUAUUAUCAUCUAACGACUUUUAACUCAACUUCAAUUAUAGACUAUAAGAUAGAUACAUACAAGAUAGUAUGUAUAUGAAUAAUUUGAUUUUGAAAGCUCUAAUUUUCAAAUUAUAAUUGAUUAGGCAUUGAAUGUUAUAUAGGAAAAAAAAACCUUUUUCCUUAGAGGAAAUUGACAAAUUUGUAUAAAGUAGUCUUUUUCUCCAGGAAAAUUAGUGUUCAUUAUUGAAUGUCUUUUUCAGAUAAUCGUAUAAGUUGAGUGAAAAUAACUGUAGCGAUUUUUGGGAAAAAGGACCCUUUUUUUCUUUAAUGUUACGUUGUAUAGAAUAAAAAUACAAAAUUACAAGAUAGUUAAGCCAUAUUUUAAAAUAUCAAUUUAAAUUUAAGGAUGAAAAACAUGAAAUAAAUAAAUUAGGUAGAGUUUACAAUUUAAUCGAUGAUUGAAAAAGUAUCUAAAUGGAAGACAUAAUAUAAACUAUUUUUUCUAAUAAUAAAAUAUUUAUUAUUCACUAAUAUAUAACAUUAUAAUAGCCAAUGAGUUAUAGUUCAAAUAGCAUAAUCUUCUCGUACUCAAUUAAGAGGUUGUAGGUUCGAAUUUCCUAUCUUUGGUUAAAAAAAAAAUAUAACAUUAUAAUAAAAAUUUAUACUAACGUCCAAUUAAAUUUUGACGUUUUUGAGAUACUUAAUGAAAAUAGGUCAAACUAAAUGCAUUAUAUUCACUAACAUGUCAAUACAUUACUAUAUAUUUGUACAAAUCCUCACAUAACACCUUGUCAAUUAGAGAUAAUUUGACUUACAUGGCAUAAUAAUGUUUUGAUUAGCGCACUCUUACGUUAACAUGAUGCAAGUGUUCAAAUCACGCAAAUCAAAUUUAUUUAUAUCUUAUUAUCUUUAAAUAUAUAAAAGCAUUUUAAAAUACGGCGAAGAGGCCAAAAAAGAUUUUGCGUGUGUAAGGCCACCCGUUCUGACCAUCAUCACCGGCCACCGCCAAAACUAUAAGACAUAACGUUCACGUCUUCACCCUAUAAAUUCGAGUCCUUACCACGCCACUUCUCUCCCAACAGAUUUAAGAAACAACUCUAUUUCUGACGUCAGCGAAAUUAAAUCAAAUUGAAAACAAAAGAAAAGAGCGAGGACCAAUUGAAGAAAAGAGAUCGACCGUUGAAUAUGGAGUCGUUGCAGAAGAAGGUUGUGUUUGACGGAGAAGCGGCGUCGAUGAUGAUGAAGGAGCUGAGAGGGAGCUUCGGUUCUGGAAAGACUAGAAGCUACGAGUGGAGAGUGUCGCAGGUGAAGGCACUGCUGAAGAUGGUGACUGACAACGAGAAACAGAUCAUCGAUGCUCUUCUCUCCGACCUCGCCAAGCCACCGCUCGAAACCGUCGUCUACGAGGUCAAUCUUUUCACUUUCCUCUCUCUCCCUUCUCCUCAAUUUUCUUUACGCAUUCUCUCUCUAUAUUAAUAAAAUAAUUUUAUACGUGUAUUUAAUUAGUAAAAAUAUAUUAAUAAAAAUAAUUAAUUUUAUAUUAAUUAUUAAAAUAAUUAUUUAUAAAAAUAAAUAUAAUUUUUCACACGAAUAUAUAAAAUAUUUUAUANNNNNNNNNNNNNNNNACUUCUGAAACUUCUAUCUUUUGCAUUCUAGUCCCCCUCCUCCCCCUUAAUUAAAAUUUGGGAAGUGUUGUUCUUGCUUUCUGAAUUGAGAUAGGGGAGAGAAUAAAUUAAAUAAUCAUUGGUCUCUGGUUGGUAGAAGAUGAACUCUCAGUUCUUGAAUGAUAUUUGUCUGCGUGUGUAUUAUUUAGUUAAAAUAUUCCAUUGUCGAUGCAUGAAUGUUAGAUUUGCAAUAAAUGACUCUUCCACUUAAUAUAUCUUGUAUAUUCUACUCAAAAAUAAAUAAAUAAAUAAAUAAAUAAAAUCAUUUUUACCGGCUUAAUUCAUGUUAGUUAUAACUAUUUUAAAUAUAUUACUAUGAAUUUCAAGCACGAUGUAUGUAUUUUUAGAAACUGAAAUUACAAGGAAAAAAUCUUGGCAAAUAUAUAAAAUUAAGAAUUGACAAAAUUAUAAAUAUACGUAUACUUUUUUUUUAAAAUAUGCUGGUUUGUUUUCUUAAAGGUAAAGUAUAACCAUGAUUACUCUUCAGAAUAUAUAAAAUUAAGAAUUGACAAAAUUAAUAAAUGUUCAACAUUAUUAAAGCAUUAUUUCAAUAGCUUUUCUUUUGAGGGUUGAUGAUUUCAUCAAGUAUAAGACUGUGUUAAGGCAAAAUUUUUUAAUUCAUAUACGUUCAUAUUAAUUCUAUACUAAAUCUUUAAGGAUUUGGAUUCUCUAAAGUUUGAAUUUUACUUUAGAGAGUAAAGUGUGAUUCUUCUACUUUUGAAUAAUUUCUUUUUCAUAUUUAUUCUUAAUCCCACCUAUAAAAUCAAUGUUUGUUUGAAGGAAAAAUAGAAAAAAAAAAUGAUUAUUUUUCAUUGUUCAUUUGUUUGAUUGAAAACUACUAAUUUUUCUUUCUCUACUUUCAAUACUAUUCAUUCACUUUUUUCAAUAUAUUUUAUAAUAUAAGAGUAAAAUUAUUUUUUUAUAACAUUUCUUCUUUUCUUAUUUUUCUUUCAUCCAAACACAACUAAAAAAAUAAAAAUCUACUCAAUUUUUUUUCUUUCCUUUUUAUUUUCUUCUUUUUUAUUUAUUUCCUUCCAACCAAACAUAGCCUAAGUGUCUGGAGUUCAAUCUGAAGAUGACAGCAAUACAGUUGAAACAUCAGAAAUCAAAUCGGUGCAUGACGUGAAUUUCAUUAAUUCUAUCUUACCUUCGUUAAUUCAAAAAUAUUUUAAUUCUUUCUACAUUUUUGGUUUUUUUUUUGUCGGUGGAUUGGACAACCCCCAAUUCUAGGUACACAAUACACACCUACACAUUCCUCACAUAUUUACCAAUUUUUUCUUCUCGUUGCAGCUGGUAGGACUCGUAUUAGAUUCAAACGUAUAACGUAUUACACUAUUUUAUGUGAAAAAAAAAAAUUCAAACUUAAAAAUCCAAUUAGCUAAAUCCAAUAUACACUUGAAAGCUAAAGGUCCAAAAUUUGAAGUCUGUUCUCUGGUUCAAGUCCAACAGUGACUAACUAGUCCAUCAGUUUAAUAAUAAAUUGGUUUAAUUUCUCAACCCAAUCAAGUUGCAAACAAAGUAAUUUGAGCGAAUUAAUAAUUCUAAAGCCCAGCCUGUAAUAAUUUUUUGGAUUUUUGUUAAAUUGUAUGUUGCUUGAUUCUUAUUUGAGUAUUUGUAAGCGUGUGGCCUGAUCGAGUUUUAGCACUUCGGUCAACCUUUCACGAUAAGGGUUUUUUUUUUUUUAAUUUUAAAAUGUUAUUUUUAUUUUAAUAUAAAGGUAAAACCAUGACAAACGAGAGGAUGGAUUUUUCUAUAAUAUUCACACGAAUAUGUCGUGUGAGUUUUAGUUUUUACACAAAUUACACGUGUGAUUUUGCAGUAAUUGGAAAAGGACACUAAUCUAUUGUAAUCAAGAUGCUAAAAUCUUUGUUAAAUGUUAGCUUCAACUUGCGACAGUUGCUACUAAAGCAAACAUAUUUUGAAACUCUUGACAGAAACAAAUGUGGAGGAAAAUCCUAAUUUCCCUGCUUAUUUUUUCAGAUUGGAAUGUUUAAAAACUCAUGUGAAGUCAUAUUGAAGGAAUUGAAACAAUGGAUGAAGCCAGAGAAGGUAUUUUACCUCAUUAGCACAUCAGAAUUGACAUGGAUACUGAUUAUUAAUAUGCCUUAUUGGUUACAGAGUUUAUUUAAUUUAUGACAUGAAUUUCCUUUCUCCUUUUUAAUUCAGGUCAAAACUUCAAUAUCAACAUUUCCUUCUUCAGCUGAAAUAGUACCUGAACCACUUGGGGUUGUGUUGGUCAUUUCUGCAUGGAACUAUCCAAUUUGUAAGUUAUUAUUCAGUUGAACUUGUUUGAUAUGUUUGAUCCUAACAACCUAUAUGACGAUUACAUAUUAGUUAUAUAUUUUAUCUUCUUUUUUCCAGUGCUGUCUCUUGAUCCAGUGGUUGGAGCCAUUGCAGCUGGUAAUGCUGUGGUUCUAAAACCAUCAGAGAUUGCUCCAGCAACUUCAUCACUGAUGGCUAAACUGUUAGCAGAGUACAUGGAUAACUCAUGUGUUAGAGUUGUUGAAGGAGCAGUUGAUGAAACAACUGCACUCUUGGAUCAAAAGUGGGACAAGAUUUUCUACACAGGUUCUUCAUUUCUCCCGUCAUUAUUCCAAUUUCCUUGGAUGAAGUAAGAAUGUUGCAGUAUCCGAGUUUCUGCAUGGAUAAAAAGUCAUAAUCAAUUAUUGAAUUUGUAGGUAAUGGAAGAGUGGGACGCAUAGUCAUGGCUGCUGCUGCAAAACACCUUACACCUGUUGUUCUGGAGCUUGGAGGAAAAUGUCCAGCAGUUGUUGAUUCAGAUGUCAAUUUACAGGUAUUGACCAUUGGCCAUGAUUUUGAUCUUUCUUCAGUAACAUUCUAUCAUUUAGGCCUUCUUGAAUCUCAUUCUUGAUUCAAACUUAAUUUGUAUCUUACUAGGUAGCAGCUAGACGCUUAAUUUCUGGCAAGUGGGGACUCAACAAUGGACAAGCUUGUGUUUCUCCAGAUUAUGUUAUUACAACAAAAGACUUUGCUCCCAAGUUGGUAUGAUUUAUUCUUCGAAAUAAAGUAUUAUUUGAAUGCUUUUAUUAUCUUGAAAUAAUAAAAGAGAAGCCAAAAUAUUCAUUGUUUAAAACUUAGAUGGAGGUUUAGAAUGAUGAUUUAAGAUGAUAUUGUCAUAGCUUAUUGUGUUUUGUGCUUCUUAUUUCUAGGUGGAUUCUCUUAAGACUGAGUUGGAGAACUUCUUUGGAAAGAAUCCGUUGGAAUCAAAAGAUAUAUCCAGAAUUGUGAAUCACAACCACUUUGCUCGCGUAGCGAAGCUUUUGGACGAUGAGAAGGUUUCCGACAAGAUUAUUCAUGGAGGCGAAAAGGAUGAAAGCAAAUUGUAAGUACCCAUUUUGCAUUUUUUACUUUAACUUCAUAGCAUCUGUGAAAUUGUACUAUAUAUUGACACCAUCAUUCUCUUGUAUCACUUUAAUUUCAGGAGGAUUUCUCCCACUUUACUAUUGGAUGUUCCACAUGAUUCUCUGAUCAUGGGUGAGGAGAUAUUUGGUCCAUUGCUUCCCAUCAUCACGGUAGGAAUAAUUUAAUCAAGGCACCUAAAUAACUGUUUUAUAUGACAUUGUUUUUGCAAUUUGUUAUCAAUCUGCAAUAGUAAUUGAUAUGUGCUUCUUUGGAAGAUCAAUAAUGAUGAUAGAUGAUUUUUGUGUAACAGGUGAAUAAAUUGGAAGAAAGUUUUGAUCUGAUCAAUUCAAGAACAAAGCCUCUGGCUGCAUAUAUAUUUACAAACAACAAGAAGCUGAAGGAGCAGUUUGUGAAGAAUGUUUCUGCAGGGGGCAUGCUUGUCAAUGACAUUGCCUUACAUGUAAUGUUCAUUUGUCCCUUUUUUUUAUAAUCUCUUCAAUCAAUGCAUGUGUGUGUGUGCUAAGAACUAAAUAACCAUUCAGAGUUGGAGGGUUACCCUUAUUUCGAUUUUAAAUGAAGAAGAAUCAUGAUAUAAUAUAACCUUCUAAUAAUGUUUCUAAAGAUCACUCUCAUAAAAUGUUUAUGUUUCACUCCACCAAAAUAUUUAAGCAUCUCAGCUAAGAAGAUUGAGGAUGCAUCCAUAUAUGAAGAAUAUUUAUAAUCACUCAUUUUCUAUGUAUUCCUAAAAUAUGCAAAUAUUAAUAUGAAGUGAGAAUAUUGUUCAUCUCUGUUUUGUUCUCUUUUCCUGGUGCAGCUUAUUGUUCCCACGUUGCCAUUUGGGGGAGUAGGAGACAGUGGAACAGGUUCAUACCAUGGAAGGUUCUCCUUUGAAGCGUUUACUCACAAGAAAGCAGUUCUUUAUCGUGGUUUUGGUGGAGAUGCAUCACUAAGGUAUCCUCCAUACACAGAAACAAAACAGAGGGUGAUGAAGGCACUCGUUAGUGGUGGUAUUCUUAGCAUAAUUGCUGCUCUUUUGGGAUGGUCCUCCAAGGCUUAAUUUGGUUUGUCAUAUUAACGUUUUUUUUUUUUUUUACUUUAUUUCUAAUUCGCCUCCUUGUGUAUUAAGAAUGUGUGAUAUUCUUUUCUUUGUUUUGUUUAAUGAGAAAAUCAAUAAGCAAGGCUUGUGCUUGAGAUAGCAAAUAUUUUUUUUUUGUGUUUUUCUGAACUCCUGCAUGAACUUGACCAUAAUCAAAAUUGAAAUUGUAAACAAUGCAAGCAGAUAAAUUAAAUUGGUUUCUUUUCUACAACUUUAAUUAACAAUUAAUCUGCAACGUUACAAAUGUACAUCUUUCUCAUUCUCAAAUCUUAACCUACCUGAUGAAUGAAAACUUAAUCUAUUCAAUAAUACGGAUAAACAAACAAAUAAAUAAAUAAAAUGAAUGAAUGAAAAUGAAUUAAAAAAAAAAAAAACUCCAACUGCUAUUGAGAAUGAAGACUACUCUUGUAAUAUGCUAACAACCUCAGCCCGUUGUUGAUCAGUGAGAUAUGUUGGAAACUCAACAAGAAACUUAAUUCUCAAGUCUCCUCUCUUGUCUGGAUCAUUGAAAAUUGGCAUGCCCUGGCCAGAGAUUACUUUCUCAAAACCAGGGAAUAUGAUAUCUUCUUCAAAACUCACGUUCAUCUCUUCUCCACCCAAUAAUGGGAUCGGUAUUAUGCCUCCACUGAGUGCUUUUACUAAAGGAAUUUCAAGCACCAAUUCCAAAUCAUCACCUUCUCUUCGGAAUAAUUGGUGCUUUUUCUCCCAUAUAGAAAAUAUUACGUCUUCUCGGUAUAAACCAGCUCUAACAUUUCCGGAACUUUCAAAUGUAAUUUUUGUACCAGUCCUCCAUCCUGGCUCCACAUUUAACGUUACGAUCUCUUCUUCUUGAGACAUUUCCCUAUACACCAUCAAAAUCAAGAGGAUUUAUCAUUUAUGAGGGAUAGGAUUUAUUCGAUAAAUUAUCAAAGUGGUAAAACUCGUUACAUACUUUAUAGUUCCACUGUAGUUAUUAUUUUAACUGCAUUUUAGAAGUUCUUCAAGUGUUAAGUAGUUAAAACCAUUGAAUGUUACAAUUGUUACAUAUGAUAUAUAGAUUCUGCAAAGGAAAAAUAAACAAGUGAAAUUCACAUUAUAAUUAUUUAUUUAUUUAUUUUUUGGUUGUUUAAAUAAUUAUUUUUUUAUUUUAAUAGAACUAACAUUUUGUUGCUUUCAUUAAACUAAAGAAAUUUUCUUAAUAAAUUAUAUAGCUUUUAUCAUGAAGUUACGUCCCAACAAAUUUAAGUUAACUAUUUAAGUACCGUUAUUUUCAUGUAAAAUUGAUUGAUUAUUAAGAAUAUCAAAUAAUAAUUUAGUUAAAUUUAUCAAAUUAUUUAAUAAUUAUUAAAAUUAACUUCACAUAAAGAGACAAUUACAUGUGAAUGUCUACCAUAUUUUAAUAUCCCAUCACAAAAAGGUUAUAAAGCUCUCAUACAGUAAUACUAUGUCAUAAUACUUUUUUGAAAAAUUAAACUGAGAAAAUAAAUAUAUGAAUUUCUUGUUAUAUUCUAAUAGUUUUUAACAAAAUGCAAUACUUAGUAUUGUAAAACUUAGAAAGAGGAGGAAAGAUUGGAAAGAAGAAAUACAAAUACUAACCCAUUAGGAGUGAUGACAUCUCUUUUGAUCUUGAACUUCUUAAUGCAUCCAUGGCACAACUCCUCAAGGGUGCACUCAACCGUCAUCUCGAUGGGUUGCGGUUUUAGCAUCGCAGACGAUGANNNNNNNNNNNNNNNNNNNNNNNNNNNNNNNNNNNNNNNNNNNNNNNNNNNNNNNNNNNNNNNNNNNNNNNNNNNNNNNNNNNNNNNNNNNNNNNNNNNNNNNNNNNNNNNNNNNCUUCUCGAGAGUUGCGGCGGCGGUAGGUUGAAACUGUUGCAACCGCUGCCAUUUUUGCUCCAUAACAGUGAUGCGGGUAUGGAUUCACAGCUUCUGCUAGCCCUAUGUCUUUGUGAAUGCAAGCUUGAUAAUCUUCUUGAACUCGUUGAUGGACCAUUAUUGUUGUUUCUAGAACCAUCGUCGUUAUUCGAUCUGAAAUUGUCAUUGUUUCCAUUGAAGCAGGCACCCGCUUCGCUAGCUUCAUCAAAAUGUUUCUGUUGCAAGGAUCAAAAUAGAUUUUUCAUUGACGUGUCUAUUUCUAAAUCCAUUUAAGUAGAAAUUCAGGUGCAAUUGGCUUCGUAUAAAAUUAAUUAUCGAGAGUCGUUAAAUAAUUUGAUAUUUGACUAAAUUAUAAUCUAAUAAUUUUUAACUAUCAAUUUCAGACAAAAAUAACUGCACAUGAAUUUUCAUAUUAAAUCAGCUGCAAAAUGAAGCUAAUUAAUCAUGGAAAACCUAGAUUAUUAUGAAGACGUUUUGGUAACAUAUUGCUAAACUAAAUCUUUAUGUAUUAGUAUUAAUAUAUCAUCACAUAUUUGAUAACCCUAUUUGUGUGAUUACCUGAUGAUGAAGAUGGUUGUGAGAUUGUUGGUUGUAUUUUCUCGUUGAGGAUGAAAAUCGUUGCUUCUUACGACGUAACCAUCUUUUGAAGAUUGAUUUGUAGGCUUUGCAUAAUUUACGAAGGGAAUCUAAGCCAACGACGCAGGAAGCUUCCACCAUGAGAAGAAGGAGAAAAAGAAAGAAAGAAAGAGAGGGAGGUAGAAGAGAAUACGGGUAAGAGUAACAACGUCCACAAAGAGAGGUGAACGAAUGCAUGGAAACCCAAAUAUUGGUGGUGCCUGUUUAUAUAUAUAUAGAGGCUUUUAUUAGCUACUUCCAUCUGUUAUUAGCAAAGCAAAGACUUUAUUUAAUUUUUCUUGUUUUAUUAAAUACUUUUCCCGGUGUUUAAAACAUACAGCUCAGAUUUUUUUGUGGGGUCAACUUACAGAUCACAUUUGAUUUGGGAUGGGAUUUGACUACUAACCGUAGUUGUAGAAUUAAAUUACCGCGUUCAUUUCAUCUAAUUAACUUCAACGUAACCCAUCCACGAUGAGCAUACAAUCUUCUACCCUUUUUCAAUUUUUUAUCUNUUAACUCAUUAUUAAUAUGUAUUUUAUAUUCUGUUAACAUAUAUUUUGUAAGAUAAAAGUAAAACACAUAAAUAAAAGAAAUGACAUCUAAUAUUACACGAAUGUCUUGAAAUCGAAAAUGUUACUUGCAUGUCUUAUUAGUGUUUCUAUGUAAAUUAAACCAGGAAAAUUCAAUUUAGGACUUUUCAUGGUGAAUUGAAUCGGUAAGAUUCAAAUUAGUAUGCAAAAAGGUAAAUAGAGAUAUACAAUUUCGAAUGAGUAGGAAAAAACGUUACUAAAUCGAAACAGGAGACUUUGAAUUCCAGUCCAUAAUAAAUCAAAUUGGGUGGCUUCAAUUUAUUACUUCUAUACCUAUAUAUACAAUUCAAAAUUUUGUUGUUUUAAAUUACAUUUUCACACAUUCUUUCCAUUUUCUUCCAAUAUUCUUUGAAGAGAGAAAAGUGAGGUCCCAAUUCAUAGUAAAUCGAAUUAGGUGGUUUCGACUUACAUAUAAACAUUGAAAAAAUAAGACAUGCAUAUAACGUUUUAGUUUUAAGAUAUUUAUGUAAUAUUAGAUGCUAUUUCUUUUAUCUAUGUGUUUUAUCCUAUUUUAUAUUAGUAAUUAAUUUUGAUAACUGAUUUUGAUAUAUACAUUGUUGUAUCUAGAAUUAUAUACAUUGGUUAAAUCAAUGUGUUUUUGUAAAUCAAUUUUAAUUAAAAUUACAUUAGUAUUAAUAUAAAUUGUGGUUAGAUAUUUUUUACACUAAUUAUAAAAACUAAAAUAAAUAAGAGGAUGUGAAUUGAAAUCGAAUGAAAUGAAAUUAUUGUACUUUUUUUAUGCAAUAAGAUAUGAACUCAUUUAGUCUCAUUUGCACAUAUUAUAACUUUUUGGAAGAAACUAAAAUUUUUAAUUUCUCAAAUAUGAGGGAAAAUAACAAAUUGUCAAGUUUAGAGGUUUAAAUAUCUCUUAAUUAAUUUUUUUCUCCAAUCUAAGAUAUUAUAAAUUCGUGUACACUAUUUACUCAUAUACAUAUUUAACAGUUUUAUCAGCUAUUUGACUACUACUAUUAAGGUUUGAAUUUAUGUGGAUCAUAUUAAAAGAUAGGAAACGGAUCUGAUGUUCCGUUGUACUUUUAAACUGCAGUGUGUCAAGCCUUUUUAUCGUAGAAAUUUAAUUUAAAGUAUUGGAAGGGCCAACAUGUAAGGAGUUAUAGUUAUUGUGCAGCACAUUGAAGUAAGGAGUAUGGAAGGCAGUCAACAGGCCCAACAAUUGAGCUCUGCUGGAGGAGUGUAAAUGUCUUCUUUCUCCAUUGGUGUUAGGCGGCAAGAGGCAAGGUUAGCCACAGUUGAGGUCGAGGCCAGCCGAGCCAAUGCUGUUGUAGGGCCCUAAUUGGGUAUAGGCAGUUGGGUUGAUUGGGCCAGUGGAGGAUGGACCAGGCAGGGAGAGUCGGUUGUUUGCCUUAUUUUUUUAUUUGUAAACACAAACGUGGUUGUAUGCCUUAUAGUCUCGCUUAAUCGAAGCCGAAAAUUGUGGCGCGUUCGAUAGUAAUAGUAGAAAAAGUGAAAUAAAAAAUUUAUUUUAUUUUUGCGAAUUUUGUCAUCCAUCCCUAUGUAAUGUAUAAGGCCAUGGAUUCUUUACUCCCACUUUUGUGUGGGAGUAUGAUUAACCUACAGUAAAAUAAUUACAAAAUAUAUCCCGUUUUUUUUUUUUUGAAAAAUUUACUAAUUAGAUUUUGAUCCCUCAAAUUAUUGGUUUUUAAUUUUGACUCCUUUCCCUUCUUUGGUACGAAAAACUGAGAGAUUACUGAUUUUUGAAGAGCAUCAACCAGGUUGAAGCCUUUCUCUCCUUCCCUAACUCUGCCCUCACUCUCCACCCUCCUUAGAGUUCUUGAAAAACCCUAAUUUUGCCAUCCCCGUUCUUUUUCUUAUUUCAGAUUCAGGGGCAUUUCAGAGAAGAGAAGUAGUUAGGGUUUUCAGACAACUGCAAUCCCUGCCAUUCUCAUACCCUUCCUCUGCUGCAAAUUUCCACCACCUACUUCCGCCGACGCGCCACGCCUCCGCCGCCGCCGCACCCUGCCUCCGCCUCGCCCCGCUUCCGCCUCGCCCUGCUUCCGCCGCCGCACCACGCCUCCCACGCUCAAUAAGACAAGAGGUUUCUGCGGCCCUAAAUCGCUCAUCUGGUUCAUCAGGUAUACAUCUUGAUUUCAUAUUCCGAAUCUUAAAUGUGUUGUAUAUUAGGUAUGUUUUCAACAAUUUGUUAAUAUAAGAGAUUUAUUUUAAUGUUUAUAGACGGUUCAAUACUCGGUGGAACAUGCUGAGAAGUUUGAGAAAUUUGGCAUGUCGCCUUCCAAAGGUGUUCUUUUCUUUGGCCCUCCGGGCUGCGGCAAAACCCUGUUUACAAAAGCAAUUGCAAAUGAAUUCCAGGCCAACUUCAUAAGCGUCAGGGACCUGCAUUACUUCUGCAGUUGGCCUGGCAUUCCAAAAUCCACACGGUCCAAAAUUCAUAAAUGGACCGAGUCAUUUGUUGUCCUGGGAAAAAAGAAGUCUCAGCUAAAAAAUCCCAAAAUACUUUUUCAUAGUCAUAUUGCUUUAAGGUCCUUACCCUUUUCCAUACCAUUGGUGACAGGACAAAAGAGAUCAGAUUAGGAAUUUGGAAGUUGAAGUAUGGCAUGAUCUCUCUUAUGUAUACAUCAGCCUUUCACAGUGGCGUGACGCAGAGGCCUGCCUUUUCAAAAUCUCGGGCCAUCAAACUAUACUCUUCUACUAGAUGUCAUGCAAUAGGGUAAUAUAGUAACAAAAGCUUAUUUGGGACAAGGAUUCUGAACUUGGGAAGGAUAAUAUUUAUGCAGAUGAUGCCACUUUCAUUGUCUUGUAAUGGUCGAAUUGCUUAUUAAUAUACAGAUCAAACCUGUUCUCACUUCUCAUUUCACUUUUAUAUAUAUUGCACUCACCUUCUCUAUUUUUUAAUAAGAAAAUAGAAACACAUUUUCUUCUCUAUAUAUAUCAUCGUUAUUUACAGAAAUAAAAUAUAUAGGUUAUGAAUAAUUUAUAUUAACCAAUAAAGUAAAGGAAAUUAGUAAUAUAGAAUUGUAAUAUAUAGAAAGAUAAAUUAGUGUAAAAACUAAUGAAACAUAGCUUAGUAAUUUGUCUUUCAAAAAAAAUAUUAAAAAUAUCUAAAAAGAUAAUUCCUCAUUUCUAAAUGUCUUCAUGCUCUACUUCCACCUUGGUCCUAUAUUGCCAAGCAUUUUCUUCUAUUACGAGACACAAAUCGUUGUACUCCUCUAAAACCAGAUCCACGGCAAGUCUCAUUCGUGUGGAGUCGUUAAUCUGCUUAGAGCACCAACAAUAUAAUUCUAAUUAGAAGUGUGUUGAAAAAAUUAUGUUAAAAAUAUUUUGUUAUAAAUAUGACCUGAAUAUUGAAGUUAUCUGGUAAAGUACAUUCUCUCAUCCAACUGGUCACCCAAAUUCCGCUAUCAUUCUUAAGAUAUAAAGCAUUCCACAAAUAGUUAUUAUAUCCAUAUAAGAUAUAAACUAUUGAACGUAAUGAUAUUUAAAAGAAAAAAUUAUAUAAUAGACUUACGAUCUAUUUUUUUGAGUGGGUAGGCCAAAAGGUGUGAUAGGCCAAAAGGUGGAGCAAUCUAUAACUUUAGACUUAUCAUCAUUAAAAAUAUGAUCAUCUAACAUCGCUUCUAAAUAAGUUGCCUGUACAAGAGUAAAUUCAUGACACAAAAAAAAGUGAAUUGUAAAUGAGUUAAAUUGACUAAGAGUACUAGUUACAGCAAAUGGUUAUUUAAAUUGUUAAGUUGUUAAGUGAUUCUAAAUCAUUGAGUACUGAUUUAGAACAAAUAAUUACCACUUUAAUUGCGUUCCUUUUGCGUUGUUGAUGUUUUUCGACAGAAGGCAGUGAAUCCAAUAUGAUUAGGCGACGACUCGUAAAGUCAACAAUAACCAAAUACCAAUGUAGUUCCUCACAGAUAGGGAUAAACACCUGCGAUAAACCUUAAACCAUUAUAAACACUAAAAAUAGAUAAUAGUACAUUAAUGGAAAACAAAUUGGUCACUCGUACCCUAAUGACGUGGCUAAUUUUCAGUGACAUAUAUGCUCCAAGGAAAUCAAAGAUAACCUCUGCCGGUAUAUAUUUGUCGCUUAAAGCAUAUCGCUGCAUACAAAUAAAUAUUGUUAAAUGAAAAUAUGCUUUCAAUUUAACAACUAUUUUUGAACUGCUAAUUUAAUAAUACACUUUACCGUGUGAGUACAUAGCAUGGGUUAGUCUAGAAAAAAGAACUUCUUUUAAAUUAGUAUAUCCAAUCAAACUAUUAGACCAAAAUAUUAACUAAGAAUUUCUUUAUAUUAUAGGGAUAACUUUACUGCAAAAUGUGUAGGCAUGAACCAGCAAAUUGGAUCUUCAUUCCUACGUCGAAAUAUACGUGUCAUCAUAAGUGCCACUAGGUUUAUAACCUACAAUAUGUUACAAUUAUAUGUAAAACAUGUUUAUUGGUAAAUAGGGGCUUAAAAAUAUAAUUACAAGAAAAAGAAUAAUAUGCAUUUACUCGUGAUUCGACACAUCUCUCUGGGACAAGACAUCUAAAUGUACUUCUGUAACCCUUUUCAUCUGAGAUUACCAACUCUUCAGAACUGCCAAAUUCAUAAAGUGGUUAGCUGGGAGAAGCAUAGAAUCUUUAUACCAUUACAUUAUACACAUAAUCAUUAACCACACGUACGGAUCUAACGUAUCCGAAAAAAUAUAGACUGCAACAACUACUUGAGAUUCGUUUAACAUCAUCGAAGCAGUAGGCUCAAAUGCAACAAGUGUCCACCACUGAAGAUGAAAAAAAUAGUUUCAAGGUUACACUAAAAAAUAAAGAAAAAAGAAUAAAUAAACGAAAGAAGAAAAAAAUUAAAGUUACCUUUGGGAGUACAGCUCCUACUCUAACAUGUGAUUGUCCAUUAGGUGGAGUUGUAGCUUCACAAGUAAUAUCCAAGUGGAAUAACUUCUUGGGUUGAAUUGGCAUAAUACCAGUAAGAUCACUAGUUUUUGUACUUUCCCAAGAAUGCACAACUACAGUAGGAUCCAACAUGGAACUACUAUUUGUGGAAGUUUUCUGUUGUCCCAUGAUCAAAUCAAUUUUUUGGUGUAGAACAUGAAUGACCGAUUCUAAAUUUUCUAUCCUUUUUGUUAUAUCGUUAAACAUACUCUUGAACUGCAUAUUUUUCGGUGGAGCCAUCUUCUACUACUCACUCAGAUAGUAGUAUUUUGUCUUGUACGGUAUCAUAUAACCCCUUAGGAUGAAUAUAUAGCAAAUUCGGUUAUAAAAGAUAAGAUAAGAUAAAAAUAAUACAAAUUUUAAGAUAUUUUAUUUUUAUCAUUUUUUUUAAAAGUUAUCUAAUUAGAGUAAGAAGAUAAGAAGUUAAGAAUAAUAAGAUUGCAUAAAAAAAUCUAAUAUUAUCUUUUUCAAAAAGAUAAUAUUAGAAUUAUAAAACAAGAAUUUAUUAUUAAUUUAAUACAAGAUAAAGGCUGGGUAAUGUAUGCCGUGGAAACUAUUUUAAUUUUGGGUAUAUAUUUUUUUUUAUUUAAAGUAUAAUGACAAUUUUUUGUUAUCAAAUUUAAUUUUAAAUUUUAAAAGAGAAUUAGUUGUGUGAAACAUAAUCUUAUUCAUAUAUGUAAACGCUCAAGCAUAGAACACUAUUAACUUUCUCUACUAAAACUAAAAUUACAAUCUAAUAGAGCAAUGGAAGAAAAAGUAGUAGACGAUCACAUUGGAUCCUCUUCGAUGAAAAUUAUUGAAAAUUCUCCGUUGAAACAAAUACUACAUGCCAUAGAGGUAAUAUAUCCAACUCAUGAUAAUAUUGCAAUGUUAUUUAUAUAUACCAAUGCUAAUUUUCUAUUUUAUAAUGUAGUCUUUAUCCAAGAGAGUUGAUGAGAUGGAGAAGGCAAUGUGGAUGGCGAAGAAGUCACUUGAUAAAUUAACCGCCCCUCAAUGUAAAACUGAUGAGACGCAUGAGAAAUUCGACAAUACGGACCUAUAUGAGAUGAAGAAUAAACCCUGUGAUGAUGUAACGAAGAAAAACUCUAGCCCGUUGCAAGUAAAGUCCGAAAAUUGUGUGUUCACGGAUUUAUCCGACAAGAAUAAGGACGUUGAGAUUUUGCACAAUCUGCCAUCAUCGUUCUACAAAGGCAUGCAAACAUGCCUGGAUGGAGAAGAAAAAUCGAAGCCAAAGUCAAGAUUCGGUAUUCAUAGAAAUAGCAAAACUAAUAAAACUGUGCAAGAACUUCCGAGUACGUUUCUAAGGCAAAAGGACAAAUUGGCAAGGUUUAAUAAUCCACCAUCUAUCCAAAAUAUGGCGUUUGCACGACUAGCUAAAAUGCCAAAAAUUGAGCACAAAGGUCAACUAUCAAGCAAGAUGGCGGAAACUAGAGUACGCAAAGGGUCUUUAACUUUCACCAUAGACAAAGAACGGUUAACGACCGCUGCGAAACAAAAAAAAAUGGCUUUCAAGAACACUUCUAUCCCAAAGGUAUUUGGUUUAGUUAAAAAAAAUUAUUGGCAUAAUAUUCAAAUACGUAUAUUUUGGAUAACUUUUACGUUUUGUGCAGAAUCUUAACUGUUCAUUCAAACCACCACAAGAUAUGAGGUUGAGUGAGGAUUUGGUCAACAUGGCUAUGUACAUCUUUGCUGCUGAUAAUGAUAUAGCGUGAGCAUUUUUUUUAAUCUUUUAUUUUUAAUUUUAGUUCUCUCUGUUGAUAACGUGUUGGCUUUGUGUUAGAGAGGAUUUGGUUCAUAUUCACGAUACAACUGCAACUAGAGAAGAUCUGUUCUGUCUCGUACCUGGAAAGCAAGUGUCUGAACUGGUAAUAAAGCUGAUGGCAUUGAAGAUAACAUCAAAUAUUAGCAUGACCAAAUUAAAAAAUGUUUGGUCCCUUCCACCAUCAUUUGCGGUAAGUCAAAAUCUUGAUUUUCUGGAUAUUAACUAAGUAAAAUAAAUAACCAUUGUGCUCAAACAUUCCCAGGAUGACGUUACGUUACAUAUGGAAGAUCAUGACCUACUAGAAAAAUAUGCACAUUAUAUGCCACUAACCCGUGACCUUCAAUUUGUAAGUUCUCAUUAAUUAUUGGAAUAUUUUUAUUAUAAUAAAAAGUACUCAAACUUGUACUUAUACAUAUUACAUCGUAUUUGUUAUACAGAUAUAUGUCCCAAUCAAGGAUAAUGAUCACUGGUAUCUAAUGGUAAUGAGCAUCUCUGACAAAAUACUUUAUCAUUUAGACUCUCACUGUAAGGUUGAAAAUGAUGAACCACGCAAGCAUCAUAUUAGAAAUAUAGUAAGUUCUCCUACUAUAGAAACAAAGUUAAUAAUAACAUUACCUCGAAUAAUAAAGCACACUAUUCUUAUUACAGGGAGUGGCUCUUUCUGAGAUAAUAUUUUCAGAGAAGUAUGCAAAAUGUGGUAUACAAGAAAUAGUGAGUUUUGAGGGUUGGGAAGUUCGUAAAGCAAUAGGUAUUCCUAGGUGCUCAAAUAGGUAAUUAUUCAAAUUGUUGGUUAUUUAAUUUAAUAUUAUAUAUAUACUUAUUUCGACUUCCUUAUGUUGUUCUGCAUGAUACAUUUUCACACAGCAAUGAUUCAGCUGUAUGGGUUAUGCAGUGGAUGGAUUUGCAACAGGAAUUCACUCAUGUGGUCCCUCCAAAGGUAACUUUUAACAUAGACAAUUUCCCUCUUUAAUUACACUAAUACAUGUGUUAACGUUUGGUAAAAUAAAUUACAGCUGCAUGAAGAAAGGAGUAGAAUGUAUUUAGCAUUGGAUUUCGUCACCGGAGAUUGGAAUAAGAUACGGUCAGAUGUUAACGAGAGGUUUCAAUUAUGGUGGCUUAUGAUACACCCAUAACAUCUUUAUUUAAAUUGAAAAGAAUUAUUUAAAAUUUUGGGGUUCUGGGUCUUUAAUGCUGCUUAGAUGUAUAUUUCAUAUAAUAUUAUAUUAUAUGAACUAUUAUUUUAAAGUUAUAUCAGUGUUGUCCACUUGUUUGAUCCUAAUUAUACAAUACCUUAUAAAAACUUUUUGAAAUGUUAAAAUUGCAUUAAGUUAAUACCAAAACAAAAGAUUACAUGAAAUCAAUUAAAAUACUCAAAAAAAAAAAAUAUUACAUCACUCUCCGAAAUUACCCAUUUAAGUCCCCCAGUUACCCAUCCUAAGUUGGCUACCUUAAGAAUCAGCAGUUGAAAAAAGGUAAAUGUUCAAAAGGGUCAAUUCAACAGUGAUAAAAUUUUGAGUAUGGCUUCAAGGACGUAGCACCUGUUGAAAGAUGAACACGAGGAACUCGGAAGUAGCAGUAUACAUGACUUUGUAUAGUUCUUCUAUUUUGUUUUCUUCUCUUUCUCAGUGACCCUUGGUUUUUGGUAGAACAAUAUCUGGCUUAGGAGUGUGAAAUUUGUAGCAACACUAAUUGCGGAACCCAUUACAACUUCAAAAGAAUUAAGGAAACAGUCACAAAUACAUAAUUAAGAUACGAAUGCAGUACUACUAAAGAGUUAAAUUAAAAGACCACCAAAAACAUAAAUAUUGAAAUGAAUUUGUUCUAAUGUAACACGGUAAAAACUUCAUAUGUUCGUUUGAUAAAAUAACACGAACAGUAUAAAAAUUGCUUUGAUGGAAGUAACAAUAAUAAUGACAGAAAAAUUGAUUAGUGGGGAUGGAAAAAAUAAAGGAAGCAAGGAUACCGCUUUUUGGUGCAUUUUCUUGGAGGCUUGUGAAUACUCUAACUGCAACAUAUAUAAACAUAAACAUUAAUUUGCAAACAAAAACAAACUAUAAAGAAAAUUUUCAAAAUGACAUACUGGCUUACCCAUUGAACCUGCAGAAUUCAUCAAAGAAGUUAAGAAAUAAAUUAAAAAUUACACCAAUCCCAAAUCAACUAAAAAUUAGAGGAUACCAGAAAUUAAAGCAUUAACCAUACCUUAUUACAGCACCUCAUUGCUACUGUAGGAAGCACUCUCAUCAUAUACCUAUAAUAUCAGCAAUAUAAUAUUAUUAGUACUAGCUAAUAAGCAGCAAAUAAAACUUUGUCAUACCUCAUUGGUAAAGAUACUUACCAAUGAGUCAUCUUCAAUGUUCAUGUGGUCAUCCGAGUCAUUAUCAAAUGUGUCAUUUCCAAGGCCUUCUGACUGUGAGAUGCCACGACGAACAUGACAAGUUGUUCGAUUGUGGCCCUCCAUGCCACACUGUCCACAUCGAUGUUUUCUUUUAUUGGACUGUGAAGCCCCCCUUUUUGUCUUACAUUUUCUUGGGUCCCUUGGCAUGCUAUGUCCGAGAUCAUUGGUUGCGAGCCCAGCUCCAGAAGCAUCCACUUGCACACCAUCUCUUACAUUAUCUGCAUCAUUGACCCCCCCUUUUUGUGCAGCAUAUUCCUCCUUAAAUUGUUUCAACAAAUUCAUAGCCAUUUCCUGUGUAAAGAUAAAUCUCUCGUUAUCUCGGCAAGCAAAGUUGGCUAGUUGUCUAAACCAAUCCAUCAAACAACCGUACUGACUUAGCAUCAAAGAAUCCCAAUGAAGCCCGACCGCAUUUUGCAAACCCACUUUGGCAGUCUUGGUCCACCGAGGCAACACUAAUGACCUUGGCAACUCCUCUAUAUCUUCAUGCACCAAGACGCAAACUAUGUGUUCACAAGGUAUGCCUAGCGAUUCCAUUCUCAUACAUGAACAAUUGAAUUCCAUCUCAAUGUCACAACAGAAUACACGCCACAUCUCAUUUGGCGUUUGGUCCAAACCGACAGAGUAAAUCACAUAAGAGCCAGUUUGCCUCAUAUUUAUUACCUUCAUUGAUGCAGCCCGUACAAGGAUUGGUUGGAACAUAUGAAAUAUUGAUAGGGUGUAAACAUUGGCAGCACUCCUCUCUAACUGUUGAAAAUAGGUUUGCAUACUGGGUCUCCCAUUCACAGAGGCGAGGUCAUCCUGGACCUCUUUCCACCUUAUAUGGUCGACACAACGAUUAAAGUGUUGAAUGAACUCAACCAGAUUGUACCUUGAGUUGACAUACUUUGCAAUGAUCGAGUUUAAUCCCUCGCACCGAGAAGUAGUCCGAAAACCAGCAAAAAACUUCCCUCUUAUAUGUGCAGUUGCCCAUGAAUGUCUCUUUUUAUACAUAUCUAGGACCCAAUUCUUGUUUUUGACACUAAAUCCCUCAACCAUUUCAAAACACUUUUGACGAAAUACAUCAAUUUCAUAGUCGCCUAGCAUACACUUUUUAAACAUGGAGGUAAACUGGGGCUUGCCAAUGUUACUUGUUACUUGUUGCAUCAGAUGCCAUGCACAUAAUCUAUGAUGUGCAUUAGGAAACUCUUUCUCAAUGGCGAACUUCAUUGAUAGAUCACCAUCCACCAUCACCGAAACAGGUGCUUUCCCAUUCAUUGCUACCUUCAGUUGUUGUAGCAACCACCUGUAUGUGUCUUUUUCCUCAUCGCAAAUUAAAGCAGCAGCAAAGAUAAUUGUUUGAUUAUGAUGAUUGACACCAGAAAAUACCACCAGUGGACACAUAUUUAUUUUUCUUAUAGGUAUCAUCAAAAGCCAUCACGUCGCCAAAUAAUGAGUAGUCUGCCCUGAGACCAUCGCACCAGAAUAAAUUGCACAAAGUACCAUCGGCAUCCAUGUGAUGAUUAUAAUAGAGAGAAGGGUCAUUUGUUGCUUGAUCUUCUAGAUACUUCAAAGCUGCAUAUGCAUCACCGGGUAAUUGGCGCCUCUGCUUUGCUAUUUUAUUGUACAUGUCCCUUUGCGUGAAAGAGAGAUACUCGUAGCCACCUGCCUGAUUUGCUAAUGCCCGAUAUAUCUGCCCAACACUAAUCCCACCCUUUUUCAUGUUAACCAUGUGGCCAAUAUCAGCCUCGGACAUGAAUCUAUGCCCAGGGAGCAAUCCAGUCAACCAAGGAUCCAAAAGCGGAUGAUUGUGUUCAUCAGAAAAAUAAGAAAUAAACCAAUGACCACUAGGUGCAUCUACAUGAAUCUCCAUCAUUGCACUGCAGCCACACCUUGUCUCUGGCAUGGGUUUCUUCUUACAUUUUUCAAUGUCAUAAUUAUUUUGUGGUCUAAAUCCUUCGCGAUGACAUACAAAGUUUUUCAACUUAAGUAUGCCCGCAAGACUUUUCUUAGUCUUGUUCUUCUGAGCACUAAAGCCUCUUGUCCUUGCAUAUCUAUUGUAGAACUCAAAUGCAAUGUCGACAUCAGAAAAGUGAAAAUGACAUACAUCUUCAUCCCUGAUGUUCCAAAAUUCAAUCAUCUCAAUGUCUUCGAGUGAGUCAAUGUUAGACCCUUCAUCGAAGUCGUGAUAAUCGAACAUUGGUUCCACAUUUGUGUCAUCCUCAUCCAUAUAAUCCACGUCAACUUCCUCAUNNNNNNNNNNNNNNNNNNNNNNNNNNNNNNNNNNNNNNNNNNNNNNNNNNNNNNNNNNNNNNNNNNNNNNNNNNNNNNNNNNNNNNNNNNNNNNNNNNNNNNNNNNNNNNNNNNNNNNNNNNNNNNNNNNNNNNNNNNNNNNNNNNNNNNNNNNNNNNNNNNNNNNNNNNNNNNNNNNNNNNNNNNNNNNNNNNNNNNNNNNNNNNNNNNNNNNNNNNNNNNNNNNNNNNNNNNNNNNNNNNNNNNNNNNNNNNNNNNNNNNNNNNNNNNNNNNNNNNNNNNNNNNNNNNNNNNNNNNNNNNNNNNNNNNNNNNNNNNNNNNNNNNNNNNNNNNNNNNNNNNNNNNNNNNNNNNNNNNNNNNNNNNNNNNNNNNNNNNNNNNNNNNNNNNNNNNNNNNNNNNNNNNNNNNNNNNNNNNNNNNNNNNNNNNNNNNNNNNNNNNNNNNNNNNNNNNNNNNNNNNNNNNNNNNNNNNNNNNNNNNNNNNNNNNNNNNNNNNNNNNNNNNNNNNNNNNNNNNNNNNNNNNNNNNNNNNNNNNNNNNNNNNNNNNNNNNNNNNNNNNNNNNNNNNNNNNNNNNNNNNNNNNNNNNNNNNNNNNNNNNNNNNNNNNNNNNNNNNNNNNNNNNNNNNNNNNNNNNNNNNNNNNNNNNNNNNNNNNNNNNNNNNNNNNNNNNNNNNNNNNNNNNNNNNNNNNNNNNNNNNNNNNNNNNNNNNNNNNNNNNNNNNNNNNNNNNNNNNNNNNNNNNNNNNNNNNNNNNNNNNNNNNNNNNNNNNNNNNNNNNNNNNNNNNNNNNNNNNNNNNNNNNNNNNNNNNNNNNAGAUAAAUCUCUCGUUAUCUUGGCAAGCAAAGUUGGCUAGUUGUCUAAACCAAUCCAUCAAACAACCGUAUUGACUUAGCAUCAAAGAAUCCCAAUGAAGCCCGACCGCAUUUUGCAAACCUACUUUGGCAGUCUUGGUCCACCGAGGCAAGACUAAUGACCUUGGCAACUCCUCUAUAUCUUCAUGCACCAAGACGCAAACUAUGUGUUCACAAGGUAUGCCAAAUGAUUCCAUUCUCAUACAUGAACAAUUGAAUUCCAUCUCAAUGUCACAACAGAAUACACGCCACAUCUCAUUUGGCGUUUGGUCCAAACCGACAGAGUAAAUCACAUAAGAGCCAGUUUGCCUCAUAUUUAUUACCUUCAUUGAUGCAGCCCGUACAAGGAUUGGUUGGAACAUAUGAAAUAUUGAUAGGGUGUAAACAUUGGCAGCACUCCUCUCUAACUGUUGAAAAUAGGUUUGCAUACUGGGUCUCCCAUUCACAGAGGCGAGGUCAGCCUGGACCUCUUUCCACCUUAUAUGGUUGACACAACGAUUAAAGUGUUGAAUGAACUCAACCAGAUUGUACCUUGAGUUGACAUACUUUGCAAUGAUCGAGUUUAAUCCCUCGCACCGAGAAGUAGUCCGAAAACCAGCAAAAAACUUCCCUCUUAUAUGUGCAGUUGCCCAUGAAUGUCUCUUUUUAUACAUAUCUAGGACCCAAUUCUUUUUUUCGACGCCAAAUCCCUCAACCAUUUCAAACCACUUUUGACGAAAUACAUCAAUUUCAUAGUCGCCUAGCAUACACUUUCUAAACAUGGAUGUAAACUGGGGCUUGCCAAUGUUACUUGUUGCGUUGCGAAUCAGAUGCCAUGCACAUAAUCUAUGAUGUGCAUUAGGAAACUCUUUCUCAAUGGCGAACUUCAUUGAUAGAUCACCAUCCGUGAUCACCGAAACAGGUGCUUUCCCAUUCAUUGCCACUUUCAGUUGUUGUAGCAACCACCUAUAUGUGUCUUUUUUCUCAUCGCAAAUUAAAGCAGCAGCAAAGAUAAUUGUUUGAUUGUGAUGAUUGACACCAGAAAAUACCACCAAUGGACACAUAUAUUUAUUCCUUUUAUAGGUAGUAUCAAAAGCCAGCACAUCGCCAAAUAAUGAGUAAUCUGCCAUACUGAGACCAUCGCACCAGAAUAAAUUGCGCAAGGUACCAUCGGCAUCCAUGUGAUGAUUAAAAUAGAGAGAAGGGUCAUUUGUUGCUUGAUCUUCUAGAUACUUCAAAGCUGCAUAUGCAUCACCUGGUAAUUGGCGCCUCUGCUUUGCUAUUUUAUUGUACAUGUCCCUUUGCGUGAAAGAGAGAUACUCGUAGCCACCUGCCUGAUUUGCUAAUGCCUGAUAUAUCUGCCCAAUACUAAUCCCACCCUUUUUCAUGUUAACCAUGUGGCCAAUAUCAGCCUCGGACAUGAAUCUAUGCCCAGGGAGCAAUCCAGUCAACCGAGGAUCCAGAGUCCUUUCAUUCAAACUGUAAAAUCUGCAUAUGUUUUAAGUUUUCAAACUUGUAUCAUGUCAUUAAGAUAGAAGGCCAGAGGACCAUUUUGUGACACAUGAUUUCCUCUAUAAGCAUACGUAUGGAUUUAGAUAGCUUGUUUGUAGCUAUACAUUUUAAGAAUAUUGGGCCAAGUUGAAUGAAUAAUACAAAACAAUGGUGAGGUCAAUUUUACAUUAAUCUACAUAUAUGCUUACAAAUUACAAGAACAUAAGAAAAACACCUACUUGUAACAUAGGAUGGUAUUGAAGUCACAAGAUAUGGAAGCUGUGAUAUGUUUAAGAACUAAUAACCAGAGCAGAAAUGAACUAGAUAUGUCACAUAUAUGGUAUACAAUAAAUCAAGUGCUACUUCAUCCUAACCUUUUGAUGUUAUCAAAUAGUGAUCUGCUAGAGUGAAGACUCAAAGAAUCCAGAUGAAGUAUGAUUGGCCCUGAUUCAUCACCUUUAUCCGGGAUACAAAUAAUGAUCAAGCUCUAAUUAAGACUGAAUACAUGAAACAUUACAAGAAAAAAAAAUCCAAAAAUGAGAGAAUAGACAAGAGAGAUUAAAAUGUAACAAUAAAAAUGACCCUGCUGCCAAUAUAAAAUUGAGCAUGAAGUGCAUUCAUAGGAGCACAGAAAACAUAACUAUAAAAAUUUACAGUUAAAUAACCCAUUCUUCAUUUGUUUUUUCUUACCAGUUUUUCUUCUCCCACUAUUUCUUCUAAUAUGGAAAACUCAUAAGGCAGAAGAGACUUAAAAUAUAUCAAAGAAAAAAACUUUUUCAAAAAUGGAAUUAAGAGUCUGACAAUUUUAAAUAGCCAUAUAUUACUUUCUUCUUCCUGUAACGAAAAAUACCCAUUCCCAUUACAAACUUAACCAAACCUAACCUUGGACAAAGAAACCACAAACGAAUUACUUGAACAGAUGAAAAAUCAGUACAAAUUUUGAAAAAUAAUAUUCAUCAUUUAGAAGGUAUUAAAGAAUAAAACAUGCAUGCACGCACACGCACACAUUCACAUCUUACACUAAAGUCUAAACUGGGAUAAAAGUGAUAAUAUUAAAAUUUAAAACACUCAUGGAAGAGAAAGCUGUCGAAACUAUUCCAUUUGAUUGACCAACAAAUUCAAUGUGGUUAGAAUAUGGGGGAAUUUAGGACAACUUUCACAAACCAAAGAAAUUUCAAUUAUAAGAUAGCAUUAACAGCUUUCACUAACCAAUUACUAGAACAUGUGAACCAGAAAAAAGGGAUAAUAAACAAAAAUUCAGUAUCAGCAUAGGAACUGAGCAGGAAAGACAUCAACAUCUUGUCAAAUGAGGAAUGACUAGCAUUUUUUUUAAGGAUAAGACAUGAAAACAAUGACAUGCAGCCCAAUAGGGUAAUAUAGUAACAAAAGCAAUUUAAAAUUUACCAAUUGCCCCAAUUUUGUGCUCCCGACAGAUAUCUAUCAGAUCUUUCAUGAAAUUGAGUAUUGACAACCUCAGAUAUCUGUCACCCAUCACAGGAGGCAAAUGAUGAGAAAGCUUGAUUAGAUAAUAAUAAUAAUAAACUUAUAAAAAAACUCUAAGUAGAUUUAAGUAGUGUACUUGCAAACAAUAAUGAUAUCUAAUUAAAGCCAAUGUAUUUAGAUUUAGAGUAAAAGGAGAAAUUCCGGUUAAGGUAAACCACUGUGAGCACAAUUUCUAAUUUGUAUGACCAUCCAACUCAUUUUACUAAAAAAGCAAUGUAUGAUCUCCCAUCCAAUUGACUGGCUAUGAUCUUUCUUUUUCCCUUUCAACAAAAAACUUAGUCCAUGCUUCAAUUUUGGACUGUUUGAAAUUUUUUGUUGGUUUUUUCAUAUCAUUUCUAUGAUCUCCAACCAUUAAUUAACAAAGCAACACCAUUUCUAAGAUCCUUCAACCUUUUUAGCUGAGACUUCUUUUUUCCCAGGACAACAAAUGACUCGGUCCAUUUAUGAAUUUUGGACCGUGUGGAUUUUGGAAUGCCAGGCCAACUAUAGAAGCAAUGCAGGUCCCUGACGCUUAUGAAGUUGGCCUGGAAUUCAUUUGUAAUUUCUUUUGUAAACAAGGUUUUGCCGCAGCCCGGAGGGCCAAAGAAAAGAACACCUUUGGAAGGCGACAUGCCAAAUUUCUCAAACUUCUCAGCAUGUUCCACCGGGUAUUGAACCGUCUAUAAACAGUAAAAUAAAUCUCUUAUAUUAACAAAUUGUUGAAAACAUACCUAAUAUACAACACAUUUAAGAUUCGGAAUAUGAAAUCAAAAUGUAUACCUGAUGAACCAGAUGAGCGAUUUAGGGCCGCAGAAACCUCUUGUCUUAUUGAGCGUGGGAGGCGUGGCGCGGCGGCGGAAGCAGGGCGAGGCGGAGGCAGGGUGCGGCGGCGGCGGAGGCGUGGCGCGUCGGCGGAAGUAGGUGGUGGAAAUUUGCAGCAGAGGAAGGGUAUGAGAAUGGCAGGGAUUGCAGUUGUCUGAAAACCCUAACUGCUUCUCUUCUCUGAAAUACCCCUGAAUCUGAAAUAAGAAAAAGAACGGGGAUGGCAAAAUUAGGGUUUUUCAAGAACUCUAAGGAGGGUGGAGAGUGAGGGCAGAGUUAGGGAAGGAGAGAAAGGCUUCAACCUGGUUGAUGCUCUCCAAAAAUCAGUAAUCUCUCAGUUUCUCGUACCAAAGAAGGGAAAGGGGUCAAAAUUAAAAACCAAUAAUUUGAGGGGUCAAAAUCUAAUUAGUAAAUUUUUCAAAAAAAAAAAAACGGGGUACAUUUUGUAAUUAUUUUACUGUAGGUUAAUCAUACUCCCACAUAAAAGUGGGAGUAAGGAAUCCAUGGCCAAUGUAUAAUAUUGUCUUUUUGUUAUGGACUUUUUAGUAGUCGUAUAUUAUAUUAAAUUUUCAAUCAUUUUUACUAAUACAAAUUUUUUUAUGAAAACUUUUUUCUGUUAUUUUUUAUUUGAUUAUGUAUAAUUUUUUAUUGGAUUUUGUAUAAAUUUUAUUUUGAGUUCUUGAAUUAAAGUGUACUUUAAUUUGUUUAUCGUUCUUAAAUUUUUAUGAUAUGAAUUAUUGAAUCCUUCAAAAAUACCAAAUUAAAUAAAAAGUAAAGUACUAAAAAAUGAGUACUGAACAAAAAAAAGAUUAAAAGUAUUAAAUUUCAGGACAUAAGUUUAAGUUUUUUUAAGAAAAAAGUAUAGUGAAAAGAGAGUUUUCACCUGAAAAAAUAUAAUGUGUAAUGGUUUUGGGGUAUAAUGUACUAUAAUUUGUUUCGAUCUUUUAUUCGCUAAGAAAGGAAAGAUAAAAUUUAGGUAACAUUGAUAUGAUACGGGUUUAGUAAGUUUCAUUUUAUAAGUUAGACACCAUGCUAAUGAUUUUUUGUUUAUUAGUUUACGAGUAAGCGAAUCGUUGACUCUUCUUUUGGAUUCUACCAGCAAGCAGGAAGAUGGGAAGUAGUGGAUAGUUUAGGGCCCUUUAGGGCUUACUUGGUUACAGAUCACAUAUGUUUUCGUACAAUGGUUUAGUCGAAAAUGAAAGUAAAGACUGAUGAAGAAGGCAUAAGUAAUAAGAGAGAGUAUGGUUAAAAUGGUAGUGAGAAGAAAGCUGGAACGUGAUGGAUGAUGGAUGCAAAGUUACCAGCUGGCGGCCACGUCGACUAGUCGAUCCGGCACGGGAACCCCUACCUCGGCUUCCCUGCCCUUGCGAGUAAAACCUCUCUUCAAGGGCGUCAUUGCAGUCGGUGAGAUGCUUGACCCUAGCUUCCAAAGUGGUAAUUUGGCUUGCAACGUGUAUGUAUUUGGCCCUCCAUUCGUCGACAAUGUCAUAGUUAUAAUCGUGAACGUAGGUAUACAACAUAUAACAGAGUUGUCUGAUGCAAAGCCGGGCAGCAUCCUCCCAACUUAUAGUCGGAUCAAAAGCGAUCCGGCUAGCCACGACGAACGGCUCAUAGGAUGGUGGGGGAACGAUAGAGACGAUGUGACAGUAGCAUCUACGUCCAUCAUGGUAUGUCUGCAUUAGGCACCUGUAAAUGGGGUUCGGUAUGUCAAGUUUCUCGCAAGCUUUGUCGAGCCAGGAUCUGAUCCCGGUGUGUAUUAGAGGAUCCUUAAGCAGCUUGUCCGGAACAACUGCAUGACAUGUGUAGAGGAGGAGGCGCUAGGUUAUACGUUAACGAGAAAAACAAGAAAUAACAUGUGUCUGGAUUUGAGUAUGUUGAUGAUAAAAUAGCAAUGCACUACUUAUGUUCCGUAGGUUGUGGGUUGACCAUCUCCUCUUGAUUGUACCUAGCCUGUAGGGCUCUCAAGGCGUUCUUUUCUUUUUCAUGCCGAUCAUCUGGUUGUACGAGGUCCGGCGCCUCGCCGUUGGCAAUGCGCUUUUUCUCAAUAACCAUGUUCCCUCCUCCGAAGUAGACUAGCCAUGCGUCCAAAGCCUCUUCUAGAGUGUCGUGCCUCUGCCAGCUGCAGUACUGGUACUCAUGUAUUUGUUCAAGGAAGUCUUCAUGGGAGGUGUAUAUCCCAGGCACCCAUCCCUAGUAGACACAGUAAUAAUAUGGUGAAAUUCUAUCCUCCAUGUUUGAGUAGCUUGUGGUGGUUUGGGUGGUGUGGAGUGGCAAAUGUGAUGUGGUUUAUAUAUGCGUUUGGAGUGGAUGAAUGAGUUGGUCAAAGUGCCAAAGUUGAUAGGGGACUAAAACGGGUGCAACACUGAGUCUGGCAUGUACAGCUUUGCAGGGGAAUCCGAUUCCCCUAUCGCCAUGUUGGAACAGUUGAAUGAUUAGACUAAAGGGCAUUGAGUUUUAGGAAGUAUUGGUUGGAAGGUUUAGGGUUUAGGGUUUAGAGAUUAGAAUUGAGAUUAGAGAACUGAAAAUUUAAUUAAUAAUUUUUUUAGAAGAAAUAUUUUUAUUUAAAUUUUUAAAUUUUAAAUUUAUAUUUUUAAUUUUUAUAUUUAUUUUAGAUUAAAACAAUACUUCCUAAAACUCAAUUUUUGAGGGCCUUGCACAUGAACGAGGAAGGGUUAAGUUGUUUAUGACGUGGUCUGAUUUUGAAUUACAGCAUGAUUAAUUGAGAAUGUCGUAGUAAGGAUUAGGAGGGAGUUGUUGAAGUAUGAAAUGGCAUUGCUUUAGGAUCAUGGGGACAGCAGUAAGGUUGUUGCCGCUCACUCAUUAAAGAGGACAUAGGAUUGUGUCUCCUUAGAGGAGUAAUUAAUGGUGGUAUUAUGGCUUUCGGCUGACAAGGUGAUAUUGAUUUUGUAAAGACAUUCAAUUUGGUGGCACCAAACUCACCUACUGAUGAUAUCGAUCUAUUCAUUGAUGAGGCGAGAUCAACUCAAGGAUCACCGGUGGGUCGAGUAUGGAGAGGUCUGCCGAAGGUAAUACUCUACAGUGGCCUUCGGGUAUAGCCAAGAAAACAAGCACUGGGUCAAAUAUGGCAAGGGCCUAUACUAACAUGCCAUCAGUGAUCUCUGAGGACAAGGUACGUAAAGAUUUCUUAACAAGUUUUCCCUGCCUUUUUAAUUCCAAUCGUUGAAACCUUCCUAGAGACAACAGCUUCCUUCAUGUUGCAUGCACAGGACCUUGUUAAUCUAGAGUCGUGGAGCCAGUUCGAAUCUACAACACAACUUUGUGGGUUGUUCAACUCUACACCGGUGACAGUGCCAGAAUUAGACCCAAAACCUGGGAGUUUCGUGAUGACCGGGGAUAGGACACUAGAAUUCAUGUGGAAAAAAAUGAAGGAGCUAAUGCCGGAGGUCACCAACAGGCCACCAUAUAGGAGACCCAUCAUCCGACAAACCACUCGCGGAAGAGGAAGCCGACACAACAACAAGGUGAUUUCGGCUGCUGCCCAGAUCCCUAAGGUACGUUUCUUUUCCUGCAUUGUUCUGUUAACACAUUUAUAGAAUAUACAAUCCUCAACUAUCUUCGUUCAUAUUCCCAUAUACUACAGUGGUUCGAGACACUGUUCAAACCAACACCUGGGAUGGGCCUUUCGCUGCAGUAGUGUAAGCUAGCAACUUACAUAUUCAAGAAGCCCAAGAAAGCUGAAGAAUACGAGUACUUUCUUCUAUCCUUGUAGCCUCUCUUCUGUGUGAAUUUUAAUUUAUCAUGUGUGCUUGGAAUAACUGAUAGUGUGAACACCUUUUAGGGAAGUUCUUUUUCAGUUUACAAAAUUCAACAUGCCAAGGGGAAUCUUCAUUUCCCUAUGUCCAAAGUACACCCCACACAUUGAUGUAAGUUUUGAUGAGGCUUGGCAUCGGUACAACAACUCAACAACCUCAUUCGGUGCAUUUAGUGGUUUGUAGUCUAGGUUGUGAGUCGUUUGUUCAGUAUCUGAUUCAACCUAUACUUUUUCAUGCAGGUUGUCAACACGAUGUGUCUCUUGGGGUCUUGGCAAUCUGUGAAGAGCAUGUCACCAGGAGCAUGGUUCUUGCCGUCCUUUUUUGCUGCAGAUGUACUGCAGGAUAAACCUAUAGCAGAAAUCAGAAGGAAGUAUGAGCGCAACUGGAUGCAUGAGACCAAUCGAUUAGAGCAUGUAAGGUUUAUUGUGGUUGUGGUUUUUUAUUUUGUAUGCUGGUGUCAUGUAAGUCAUUGUUUUUGUGCCGUGACUUUGCAGGUAUUCGUUCCCGUAUACGAACCCCCCUAUGCAUGGUACUUGAUGUUCUUGGACGUCAAAGACACAAAACUGUAUGCCUUAGAUGUUGACAGAAAGCCUCAGAGUAUGGAGCGCAGGGAGGCCAACAUGCGCUGCAUUGUAAGUGCAUAAACCCCACUACCUUUCUAUGAUUAUUGUAAUCGUUGCAUUACCUCUAAAGCAUGCACAAUCUGAUAAUACUUUAUUCCGAAUGAAUAUAUAGUGCCACCUUCUGGGCAAGCUCUUUGUGAUGGACAGGAACGUCAUGAGCUUCAUGCAUGCAGACCCAGAUCCUACAAUAUGGGGGAGCUUCAUCUAUCCUGAUACCAUACCAACUUCCUUGAGCAGGUGUGUUCAUGCAUUUUCAAAUUUAUUGUCAUUUACUCGCAUUACCUGCAGCAGCAGGUCGCAUCUGCAGAUAAGUAUAUUUCGUGUCGACACCUCCUAAUUUGUUUUCUACAGCCACCAGAGCGGAGUCUGGAUGUUACAUUGGUUGUAGUAAGAAGGCACUAUAUCGGGCAAGAUAAACUCACCCAUGGUAGGCGCCACCUCUGUAGACUUUCUUGAGAGUCAUAAAUUGUUAGUUACGCAUCAUGGGUUUUACUCGUCUCACUUUGAUGUCGUCUUGUUUCUUUCAGGUAGACAGUGACUCCGUGAGGAUGAAGAUUGCUACAAACAUAGUACGGUUUGAGAUGAAUGAGGUAGGGGGAUACAUUGACGUCAUGGCCGAAAGUCUUUGGAGCUCAUUGGUUGGCCCUGCUACCUCAGUACCCUGACGGCCAUGGCAUUGCUGGCGAGAAGUUUCGUGCCUUCAAAAUCAGAAAUGUCUUGCCAACCUUUUGAACCCUCCCACUUUUUUUGACCGUUGUAGUUUUUGUGUGGAAAUCCAUGUCCUUUUGUGAAAUAUUUGUCUACACAUGUGGAUUCUGUAAUGGAACUACAUUCAGAUACUCCAUUUGCUGCUAUGAAAUAUUUGUUAGUGCAUGUGGAUUAUCUGAUGUCAUUUAGGUGACCAUCAUGGCAUGCCUUUUGACUAGUUGAUAUAAGGCUGGGUCUGAAUGGUAUAUGAUAGCAACGUAGUAGUAAAGUCACAUUUUGGUUCCAGGGGUUAUUAGCGUGUAGCAUCACAAAUUUCUUUUGGCAUGUGUCAUCUGUGUAAAUUAGGUGGAAUACUUUUGUAAUAUGCCUUGUUUCAUUUCAGGUACAAUGUAUAUCAUCCAUCAACAUGGACGGUUGAUGUGUUUAUAUUACAAAAUAUAUAUUUACUCAAAUAUUUGAGGCUGCUGCUCUAAUGGCAUCUGCAUUACUAACUUUAUUGUCCCUAACAUGGUUACUGACCUUCUCGGAUUGAAACAGUGGUAAUUUUUGCUAGAGUGAGUCACUAAGUUGAAUUUAGUGGAAACUCACAAUGUGUGUACGACUAUAAUGGUUAUUGUCAAUGUGAUGGUUACGUUAAAUUCAGGAUAAGCUUUAUAUACUACUAAUUAAUAAAUGAAAAAUUACACAUGGUGUACAUACACCAAAUGAAUGAGAUUUCCUCGUGUUUCUAUUUCGAUUCAGUCUACAUUUCAUGGUUAAUCUGGCAAAAUAAAUUCAAGUUUCUCAUCAGAUUAUGAUUCAAGUAAACUUAUUUUUAAAUCAAAUUACAAGAAGUUCUAUCUUGACGUGAUAGUCUAUCAACUCUAAUUACCAAUUUGCCAUGAUGAUGACGGUCCAAAAUGCAUCACUGAUGUGUAACUCAUCACAUUAAUUAAACUGGAUCAGGUCUAAUCAUACCACAGUUAAUAUAGUUAACAUGCUUGCGACAAUUACUAGUAAAAGAGCAGAUAGAAAAUUGAUGGCAGUUUGGUUUGAGAUCUUCAGACUCACUGAUGAGAAAAUAGAUGAAAUGGGUCACAAGGAACCAAUAAUAGAAGUAGCGAUAAAAUCAAAUCAAGGAAAUCAACAUUUAUAUUAAUAGAAACAACAAAUAAUGAAAAAGGAAAAAUACUGCCACAUUUUCAUUUUUCUAUCAUUUCUAGUUUUCUUCCUAGGUUAUCUAUUAUCUGCAGGGUAUUGCUUUUUAAUCAAUAGGUUGCGCAUUGCUCUUUUGACAACUUCAGCUGCAGCCAAGAAAGCACUCUCAUCAACAGAAGCACUUCCUUGCAAAGUUUCUAGCAGCUUCUCUCUGCCAGGUAUCUCAUCGUUUCCCAAAACUACGAUUAUAACUUUUAUUCAUGCGUCCAUGCUUUUUUGUUCUUGACUAGCGACAGGUUUCGCGACCAAAAUAACAAUUCAACUAAGCUAAUAAGAUACAGUACUUUAUUUUGGUGUAUACUAAUAAGUAGCUAUUUCUUGAAGCCCAGUGUGUUGUACCAGAUUAAAUAAUAAGUCGUUAAUUAUUAUAGAAUAAUGUGUGACAAUUCAUCAAUAACUAUCAUACACAACAACUAGGUAACUCUAAAAAUCAACAACCACACCCUACUACAAGCAAAUUCAGCAACAAUAUAGACAGUGUAUACUGGACCCUAACAAACCACUUCUAACAAUAUACACCACAAGCAACUUCAACAACAACGUCUCCAACGAACGGUUCCCGUAUACAACCUUGCUCCUUUGACUCAGCCAUCAUAUGAUACUUUCGAACAUGGGUGGGAAGUCAACUGUCUUGGUGGUAUUAAAUUCGAUUGGACCACCUCCCUGAUCCUGUUUAUAAUUAACAAACCACAUCAAAUUGAUAACCACAUUUAUGUAUCAACAAACAUAUACGCCAUAAAAUUAAAUAGCAUCAACUAUUAUCACUUGUUGAGGACCGAAAGGAACACAAAAUGAAAUUGACACACCAUACAAUCAAAGUGCGAAAAAUAAUACAGAAUGGUCCUAGCAUGAAUUUUGAAGUUAAAAUAAACCACAAUAACAAACCUACUUACCUGUGCAGGUGAAGCUUGCUUUUGCUGAGUUGACGCCUCCAGGUUACCUGGCACUGUUGGAGGUCCCGAUUUGGGCAUCGAGUUCGCCUAUAGCCUACACAGCCACACGUGCUGCAUCGCCGCCGCUUUACCCCCCGCAUGCCCACUGGGUCGUUGCUACGUCCUGUCCCUUUCAUCCUAACACCAAUUGGAUCCUUCACCAACUCCCCCUGCUUAGCAAUGUUACUUGUCUCCGCACCAUGGGACUCAAGCAUGCUCCUUUCUUCUAACAUAUGCGUGUCCCGAACAACCUUUUCGACAUAAUGCUUAAAGUCCUCCUCUCUAACACAUGCAACUUUGGCAAAACAUUUGCAGUGCUGGAGGAAUGAACCAACCCGACUUCGGUACAGCGCAACAUCAUCACCAGCUCGGCAACUCAGGCUUUCUUGAGCAGCAUCAUCCUUUGCCCAUUUCGACCAUCACUUCAGGACAAUGCUCUUCGACAACAACUCCAUAUAUAACCUUACCAGUACUGCUAGAAUGUGUACACAGGGUAGUCCGAACGACUCUAUCUUGAGACAACUACAUCUGAAUGAAUUAUCUGCGGCUAGAUGGUGUACAUUCCACCGCAUCUGUGGUUUGCGAUACUUCUGUGUCACAUAUAUGCAACCAUCUUCACGCUCUAUGCAUUCCAAUAUACUCACCCUAACACACCUCUUAAGACUCUCACGAUAUCUUGAAAAAAUUUCCCUCGUAAAACUCAUCGCACCAGACUUCUCAAGCUCUGGGAACUCUGUCUGAAGGACUGGGAUCCCAUACGAUGAUCGAAAAUUGAGCUCCUCCUCAUUGUCUUUUAGGAAAUCAACACAGUACUAAAAAUUUGUUACAAACUCAAGGAUGCCGUAUCUUCUUUUCACAAACCUCCCUAGCUUUGCGUGGAGUGACUCACACCAAGAGGUUGUUCUAAUACCAGCAAAGAACCUGCCAUGUAUGUACGCCGUGGCCCACGAGGACUUCUUCUCGUAAAUAUCCUUUACCCACGCCACUUCCCUGACAUCGCACUCCUCCAUCAUCGCUUCCCAAAGUUUCUCAAACUCCUCUACCUCCAAGUCAGCCAUCAUACAGUGCCUAAACAAGGUCGUGAAGUGCGGUUUACAGACGUUCGAUGUCAUAUUCUUCAAUAGAUGCCAAGAACAUAGGCGAUGAUGGGAACAUGGGAAUACCUCCUGAAUAGCUAACCUCAUCGAUCGGUCACCGUCUGUUAUCACCCCAGUGGGAGCUUUGCCCUUCAUACGUUGCAAGAAGGUUCGCAAUACCCAAACAUAUGAUGUCUGGGACUCGCACGAGACCAUUGCAGUUGCAAACACGCAAGUUUGGUUGUGGUGGUUAACUCCAGAAAAGACAAUCACUGGGAGAUUGUACUUGUUCCUCCCAUAGGUGGCAUCAAAGGCCAAAAUGUCCCCAAAAAUGUUAUAGUCAUCAUGGCUACAACCAUCACUCCAAAAGAUAUCACACAUGUUUUGCCCUGGAUCGACCUCAUACCUCCAGAAGAGUUUUUCAUCUACAAGGGCAGCCCCCUCCAACACCCUUAACGCUGCAUUAACAUCACCAUUUUGCAAUAGCCUCUGCCGCCUAACCUCGUUGUACAGGUCUCUCUUAGUAAAAGGAACGAGAUUGAACCUACCAGCCUGUGCAGCAAAUGACUCGUAUAUCUUCGGAAUCGAGAUCCCAACUUGCCUCAAGCUAUCCAUGUGAGCUAUAUCAACAUCAGAAACCUUUCAAUGUGAAGAUAGGUACUCUACAAAUUUUUCAGGUAGUAGCUCGUGGUUAUGAUCAUCCACAAAGCGUGACACAAACCACUUCCCUGUCNNNNNNNNNNNNNNNNNNNNNNNNNNNNNNNNNNNNNNNNNNNNNNNNNNNNNNNNNNNNNNNNNNNNNNNNNNNNNNNNNNNNNNNNNNNNNNNNNNNNNNNNNNNNNNNNNNNNNNNNNNNNNNNNNNNNNNNNNNNNNNNNNNNNNNNNNNNNNNNNNNNNNNNNNNNNNNNNNNNNNNNNNNNNNNNNNNNNNNNNNNNNNNNNNNNNNNNNNNNNNNNNNNNNNNNNNNNNNNNNNNNNNNNNNNNNNNNNNNNNNNNNNNNNNNNNNNNNNNNNNNNNNNNNNNNNNNNNNNNNNNNNNNNNNNNNNNNNNNNNNNNNNNNNNNNNNNNNNNNNNNNNNNNNNNNNNNNNNNNNNNNNNNNNNNNNNNNNNNNNNNNNNNNNNNNNNNNNNNNNNNNNNNNNNNNNNNNNNNNNNNNNNNNNNNNNNNNNNNNNNNNNNNNNNNNNNNNNNNNNNNNNNNNNNNNNNNNNNNNNNNNNNNNNNNNNNNNNNNNNNNNNNNNNNNNNNNNNNNNNNNNNNNNNNNNNNNNNNNNNNNNNNNNNNNNNNNNNNNNNNNNNNNNNNNNNNNNNNNNNNNNNNNNNNNNNNNNNNNNNNNNNNNNNNNNNNNNNNNNNNNNNNNNNNNNNNNNNNNNNNNNNNNNNNNNNNNNNNNNNNNNNNNNNNNNNNNNNNNNNNNNNNNNNNNNNNNNNNNNNNNNNNNNNNNNNNNNNNNNNNNNNNNNNNNNNNNNNNNNNNNNNNNNNNNNNNNNNNNNNNNNNNNNNNNNNNNNNNNNNNNNNNNNNNNNNNNNNNNNNNNNNNNNNNNNNNNNNNNNNNNNNNNNNNNNNNNNNNNNNNNNNNNNNNNNNNNNNNNNNNNNNNNNNNNNNNNNNNNNNNNNNNNNNNNNNNNNNNNNNNNNNNNNNNNNNNNNNNNNNNNNNNNNNNNNNNNNNNNNNNNNNNNNNNNNNNNNNNNNNNNNNNNNNNNNNNNNNNNNNNNNNNNNNNNNNNNNNNNNNNNNNNNNNNNNNNNNNNNNNNNNNNNNNNNNNNNNNNNNNNNNNNNNNNNNNNNNNNNNNNNNNNNNNNNNNNNNNNNNNNNNNNNNNNNNNNNNNNNNNNNNNNNNNNNNNNNNNNNNNNNNNNNNNNNNNNNNNNNNNNNNNNNNNNNNNNNNNNNNNNNNNNNNNNNNNNNNNNNNNNNNNNCCUCUUCCUAUCCUACUUCUCUAGCCAUUUUUUGUCUCUGUAACCUUGCCGGUUGCACAAAUACGUGUACCUAACAAACUCCCCUUUCUUGUUCUUCAAUUUCUUCUCAUGUCGUAUCGCAAAACCUUUUGCUCGACUGUACUCUUCGUAAAAAACUGUGGCCUCUCUUGGACAACCAAACUCCAACUUGAACACAUCCUCUCCACUUAACAGACCUGCCUCUGACGACUUGCUAAAAUUACCCGGUGCUUGGUUAAAAGAAUCUCCAUCGUAGCCAUCUUCCUCCAUCUCAAUAACCAACCCUUCUUCCGGUAAGAAAAAUAAAUUAAGACACAACAGCGGUUAGCAUAAAAUUAGAAAACAAUAACCAUGUACAGAACACUAGCAUGAACAAAAACAAAUAACAGAUCCAUGCAACCAUGAUACACACUCGAACCACUACACUCUAACCUGGAACACAAUCAACUAACAUAUCUUGCUAAAACUCCUACUUUACAACUAACAACUUCCUAAACCUGAAGUUUUCGCCAUGUUAUUAAUGGUUAUUCACACAUAAGCACCUACCACCGCGACAUUCUAUCUAAGUAAUGCCUAUAAGGACCUAACAUUUCAGCCAUCCACUGCCACGCUUUUCACUCCUCUUCCUGACAUGCACGAUCUUUUCUAUAGUUUCCUACUAAAAUAAUACACACUAAUUCUUCUUUCCCUUACUAACCAGUGAAAUAUUUAACUACCUGCACAAUGCUAACGGGAAUCUAUAGUUGCUUUCGCCGCCUUAUUAUAAAUCCAUGUCACAAAUAAAAAUCCUAACUACAGAAUCCACCAAUCAAUCAUACACAGUGUAAUUUUUGGUCCUCUAAUUCGAACGACUGCAACAACACAACAUACAAAUCCAAAAAUUUUAAAAUAAAAUAAACUUUGGUACCUUACUUAGAACAAGCAAGAAUGCCUCACUUUGUUCUGGCAGUGCACGACCAUCUAACCCCAGCAACAUCAAGCCUGAGAACCUCCACUUGGAGACGCAGAGCAACCAUCACUUAAAAUGCCUCAAAGAAAACUUAAGGGAGACAAUUGCACUUUUCUUAUUUUUUUUCAUUAAACUUUUACUCCACUUGUGAAGCCACAACGCAUCUGUUCACUAUUUUUCAUUCUAUCAAUUUAUACUACAAUCCUUUUUAGCUGGUCAAAAUAGACAUUGCACAUUCUAACUUAAGGACAAUUUUGUACUUAACCACUUCAGAACAAGACAAAUCUUAAAUUGAUAACUUGUUCGUACAUAGAACAUUGGAGUUUCGUUAAAGUACAGCAGAAUACCUGAUAAUUUUCCUAAAAGAUACUAUAUUUUGCCAUUCAACUAAAAUUUCAGUUACUCUUACUUAGGUUAUUCUAUUAUCAAAUAAGAAAAUUAAAGGCCCAAUUACAAUUGGGAUUGGAAUAUUAAAGGCCCAACUUGGAAUAUUAAAAGGUGAGCAAGCUUUUGAAUGUAUUGAAAUAAAAUCAAAAUUAAAAUAAUGAAGUCCGAGAAAACAUCUGAGCUACUGAGCUUUAACGCUAGCAUGUCAUAAAUAAGUAAAAUAACACAUUGGGCUGCCCAGUUGCUAAUUAUUAACUUGCCCAAUUUUUUAUCUCUUCUACAAGCUCUUUAAAAUUUAUAGUGCUUAUAAUUUGGUGUUUAAGUUUUGUUUAAUUUAUUUUUUAUAAAAGAAAUUAAAUAUUUAAUAAUUAUUUAUUUUUAUAUUUUUAAAAUUAAAUGUUAAUUUUUAAUUUUUUUGAUAAAAUAAACAAACACUAUUAAACAUCAUAACAAUCAUCUUUAAUUAAUUAUCCAAAGCCUUCUAUAACUCUCUUUCUCGUGGUUGGCUCCACUUUUAUACGACAAUUCUCAUCUUGGGUUACUAAUUAAGCUUGUAUCAUACACCCCUUGUAAUUAGUAGGUAAUGGUUUGAUGAUGAUGACGAUAUACGACACCCAUUAUUAUUUAAGGAACGCGUUUUUUUUGGGUCUGAUUCAUUGACUUAGAUCAAUUUGAUGCAGUUAUAAUUCUCUCAGUUUAUUUUAUAAUAAAAUGUUAUUAAGAUGUAAACUUAGAAUUGGAAACACCAAAAAUAACUUUUUUCAACUUUUGACUUAUAGAAAGUUACAUUAAUGUGUUUGGUACAAUUUUUUAAAUAAACUUUUAACUUUUUAAAAAGUUAUUUAAGAGCUUUUGAAGAAGUUAAAAAAUGUAACUUCUCUUUUUUUUAAAAGCUAUUUUAUCACUCUUAUUUAAUGCACAACUUUAAAACAAGGACUUCUAUAAUAACUAUCCAAACUCAAAAUAACUUAUUUAAAAGUUAUUAUUAAUAAAAGUCCUUAUAUUUUAAACUUCUUUUUCAAAAGAACUUAUUUAAGAAGUUUAGCCAAACUGGCCCUAAGUCCAGUUUGACUAAAUAACUUAAUUAAAUUAUUUUAAAAAAAAUAGUUUAAAUAAUAAAUAUUUAUAUUAAAAGUAGUUUAUAAAUAAGUUAUUUUGUGUUUGGUUUUUUAAUUCUAAAAGUACUUAUUUUAAGAGAAAAGUAAUAAAAAAAAUUAUUAUAAGAGAAGUUAUUUUUUUUAACUUCUUCUUAAGCAUCAAAAUAGCUUUUUAGAAAGUUAUAAUUUUAUUUUAAAAUUAUACCAGACAUUAAUAAUACACAUUUUCAUAAAUUAAAAGUAAAAAAAGUCACUUAUAAACUUAUCCAAACCCUAAUAAGUGUUUAUGAUUAGAGCCUUUAAUUUGUCAAUAUUAGACCUUCCGGCUCACUUUUUAAACUAUGCUCAACUAUAUGUUCAGAUUCAUAAGUGGAUUACAUGUAAAGUUGAUAACUUCGGUCAUCUGUUAUUAAUGUUAUUAUCACAUCAGUGAUUAUUAUUGUAAAUUCAUGUGUGCAAGUUGCACCAUCAAUUAAAACAUGGCUAGUAAUGGCAAAAAAAUCCACCUAUUGAAAGAUAUUAUUUAUCAGCAGAUCCGCUAAUGAAGUCCCCACUUGAACGGGGGAUUGGCCUCUACCAAUAUACUAGGAUAGAGAUGCAUGGGGACAAAGUUUUAUUGUAAUUUGAUAAAAUUUUUAUCACAUGUGAAANNNNNNNNNNNNNNNNNNNNNNNNNNNNNNNNNNNNNNNNNNNNNNNNNNNNNNNNNNNNNNNNNNNNNNNNNNNNNNNNNNNNNNNNNNNNNNNNNNNNNNNNNNNNNNNNNNNNNNNNNNNNNNNNNNNNNNNNNNNNNNNNNNNNNNNNNNNNNNNNNNNNNNNNNNNNNNNNNNNNNNNNNNNNNNNNNNNNNNNNNNNNNNNNNNNNNNNNNNNNNNNNNNNNNNNNNNNNNNNNNNNNNNNNNNNNNNNNNNNNNNNNNNNNNNNNNNNNNNNNNNNNNNNNNNNNNNNNNNNNNNNNNNNNNNNNNNNNNNNNNNNNNNNNNNNNNNNNNNNNNNNNNNNNNNNNNNNNNNNNNNNNNNNNNNNNNNNNNNNNNNNNNNNNNNNNNNNNNNNNNNNNNNNNNNNNNNNNNNNNNNNNNNNNNNNNNNNNNNNNNNNNNNNNNNNNNNNNNNNNNNNNNNNNNNNNNNNNNNNNNNNNNNNNNNNNNNNNNNNNNNNNNNNNNNNNNNNNNNNNNNNNNNNNNNNNNNNNNNNNNNNNNNNNNNNNNNNNNNNNNNNNNNNNNNNNNNNNNNNNNNNNNNNNNNNNNNNNNNNNNNNNNNNNNNNNNNNNNNNNNNNNNNNNNNNNNNNNNNNNNNNNNNNNNNNNNNNNNNNNNNNNNNNNNNNNNNNNNNNNNNNNNNNNNNNNNNNNNNNNNNNNNNNNNNNNNNNNNNNNNNNNNNNNNUAAAGACCGACCGAUCUAGCCAGUAUUUAGCUUUUAACAUUAUCUUGUAUUUAGGCUUUGUUUGGACUUAUCUACACAAAUAUUAAUACUAAUUAAUUAGUAGUCUAAAAUGAUAAAAUCUACGGAUUCUAUAACACAACUAUUAUAUUAUAUUAUGUUUAUACCAUUGGUAUAUAUUGGUAGAGAUACAUCUCCUUGAUUGAUAAAUACUAAAUAUAAACAAAAACAGAAAUAACAUAGGUAAGAUCUGUUUUCAUUUUGUACGGAAUUUUAUUUUAUUAUGAUCUCUAAAAAUAAAAUUUAAUGUAUUAUGUUAUAUUAUUGUAAUUUCUUUAAAUUAGUGGUUAUUGGCCAAUAAAUUAUAAUUUAAAUAACAUAAUCUCUUUAUAUUCAUCUAAAAGGUUACGAAUUCGAAUUUAUUUAUUUUUAAUAUAAAAAAAAAUUCACAAAUUCGUGGAUCCCUUGUAAUACCCUUCAUCCCUCUCUUCCUUUUUAGUCCCUUUGCAUCCUGGAAACGAAAAUAAAAAAAAAACUUCUGUGUGUUGUGACGAAGAUGGAUAAGGAUGAUUGAUGUCCAUUUAUGAGGGCACAUUUUUCCUAUGUUAAAAGAAAUAAAUGAAGUUUGAAAUGUAAAUUUUGUGUGCUUAUAAAUACAUGUAUUGAAGUAAAGAGGGAAUACACAUACAGUAACAAUAAACAUUCUCUUUAUAUUUCUUUAUUUUAUUUGUUACCUCUUCUUUAUUUAUUUAUUUAGUUAUUUUAUAACACGUUACCAGCACGAAACUCUAACGAAAUUUUAGGAAGACUUUAGGUAACAAAUUUUUAUUAUGCGAAUGUCUUUCAUCUUGAAUAUAAUGCUUUUGAUAUAUCUAAAAAUAAUUAUUUAUCAUGGAUACUAGAUGUUAAAAUCCAUCUUGAUUCAAUGGAUCUUGGAGAUAUCAUUAAAGCUAAAAAUAAUACAUCCCAGAAGGAUAAAGCCAAUGCCAUGAUUUUCCUUCAUCGUCAUCUUGACGUAUGAUUGAAAAAUGAAUAUCCCACAUUAAAAGAUCCUGCAGAUCUGUGGAAAGACCUUGAAGAAAGGUACAAUCAUGUGAUACUUCCUCAAACCCGAUAUGUUAGGAAAAACUUUCUCGACCUUCCAUGUCUCGAAUGUGCUCCUGCAGUAGCAAUCGAGAAAAAGGAUUAAUUUUUUUUUUGGAGCUGAUUUCUUGCUUUCCUUGUUGCUGAACGCAACAAUGAGUUGCUCUUAAGAAAUCAUGAAACGCGCCCAGCUGGCGCCUCCCCAUUUCCUGAAGCAAAUGCGGCAAAUUAUAACCCCAGAAGAGGUAAAUGGCAAGAUUUUGAUAACAAGAAAAAUUAUAAAAGGAAAAGAAAUUAUGUUCACAAGAAAAGAUCUCACCAGAAGUGGGAUAAAGAAAGAAACACUGGGCAAAGUAAAUCAAUUGAGGAUAAAUACUUCCGUUGUGGUGGAAAGGGCCAUUGGUCACGUACCUGUCGUACCCCAAGGCACCUAGUUGAUCUUUAUCAAGCAUCCUUGAAAAGGAAUGACAAAGAAAAGGAAACAAAUUUUGUUUCAAAUGAUGAAAAUUCCACCACUCAAUAUGAUGUAUCUAAUUUCUUUAAGGAUUCUGAAGGAAAUAUUGGCUAUUUGAUCAAUGAUGGAAUAGUUUGAUAUAUAUAUGUGUUUGUUAAGUAUUCAUGUGAAUAAUUUUACUGUGCAUGUACUUCUACUCAUUUUAUUAUUAUUAUUUGUCUUUGAAGAAAAAUGGCAAGGACAUAUUCUGAAGAUAUUUGCCUUGCGGAUAGUGCAAGUUCGCAUACUAUUCUUAAAAGUACUAUAUAUUUUACCCAUCUUAUGCCAAAAGAAGAAAAUGUUAAUACUAUUAUUGGCUCGGACAAUGUGAUAGAAGGCUCCGGAAGAGCUAUAAUUUUGUUUUCUGAAAGAACAAAAUUCAUAAUAAAUAAUGCACUAAUAUCUACCAAGUCUCUGAGGAACUUGUUGAGUUUCAAAAAUAUUCGCCAAAAUGGAUAUCAUAUUGAGACUAUGAAUGAGGGAAAUCAUGAGUAUUUAUGUAUCACAACUCAUGAUUCAAAUAAGUUAUAUUAGAAAAGUUGCCUUUACUUUCAUCUGGGUUAUAUUAUACCAAGAUUAGUGCAAUUGAAUCACAUGCAAUUGUAAACCAGAAGUUUACUAGCCCAAAUGAAUUCAUAACUUGACAAGAUCGAUUGGGUCAUCCGAGAACAACCAUGAUGAGGAGAAUUAUUGAAAACUCUCAUGGACAUUCACUAAAGAACCAGAAGAUUAUUAAAUCUAGUGAAUUUUGUUGUGCUGCAUGUUCUCAAGGGAAGUUAAUUUUAAGGCCAUCACUAGUAAAGAUUGGAUUUGAGUCCCCUGAAUUUCUAGAAAGGAUUCAAGGUGAUAUAUGUGGACCUAUUCAUCCACCAUGUGGAUCUUUUAGAUAUUUUAUGGUCCUGAUAGACGCAUUUUCGAGAUGGUCACAUGUGUGCUUAUUAUCUUCUCGCAACAUGGCGUUUGCGAGAUUACUAGCUCAAAUUAUUCGACUAAAAGCACAAUUUCCAGAAAAUCCAAUCAAAGCAAUUUGUCUUGAUAAUGCUGGUGAAUUUACUUCCCAAGUUUUUUAUACUUAUUGUAUGGCUAAUGGAAUAAGUGUUGAACAUCCAGUAGCUUAUGUUCACACACAAAAUGGGUUAGCAGAAUCACUUAUUAAACGCCUCCAAUUAAUUGCUAGACCCUUGCUUAUGAGAACAAAUCUCCCAACCUCGGUUUGGGGCAUGCUAUUUUACAUGCCGCAGCACUUAUUCGUUUGAGGCCAACAAGUUACCAUCAGUUCUCUCCUAUGCAAUUAGCCUUUAGCCAGCAGCCAAAUGUUUCCCAUUUAAGAAUAUUUGGAUGUGCAAUAUAUGUUCCCAUUGCACCACCUAAUCGCACCAAAAUGGGACCCCAAAGAAAAUUGGGGAUAUAUGUUGGAUAUGAUUCUCCCUCUAUAGUGAGGUAUCUUGAGAUACAAACUGGGGAUGUAUUUAAAACCCGAUUUGCGGAUUGUCAUUUUAAUGAAUCAAAAUUUUCAAUAUUAGGGGGAGAGAAUAAGUUUCCUGAAAAGGAACUUAAUUGGAAUGCAUCAUCGUUGAUGCAUUUAGAUCCUCGAUCAGAGCAAUGUGAACUAGAAGUUCAAAAGAUUAUACAUUUGCAAAGAAUAGCAAAUUAAUUGCCUGAUGCAUUUUUCGAUACAAAGAGGAUAACCAAGUCGUAUAUACCAGCGGAAAAUGCCCCAAUUCGAAUUGAUGUCCCAGUUGGACAAAUUGCCACCGAAACAAAUACACGCCAGAAGCAUGGCAAACCUGUCGGUUCCAAAGACAAAAAUCUUCGAAAGAGAAAAGAGG
This 64132-nucleotide long non-coding RNA is filed under the name Arachis ipaensis. RNAcentral's name for it is "long non-coding RNA (AIPA_LNC001817)". Lineage: Eukaryota; Viridiplantae; Streptophyta; Magnoliopsida; Fabales; Fabaceae. The record is from RNAcentral.